RNAcentral lists this long non-coding RNA (59183 nucleotides) under Setaria viridis. RNAcentral describes it as "long non-coding RNA (SVIR_LNC010064)". The stretch from base 32950 to 33110 matches the Rfam family "U1 spliceosomal RNA". Lineage: Eukaryota; Viridiplantae; Streptophyta; Magnoliopsida; Poales; Poaceae. The record is from RNAcentral.
UGUGCGGGUUAACAGUUGUGAUCAUAAGGAGUCAUUUUCUUUUCAUUUCUCAUUAGAAUUACGUCCAUCAGUUGUAUGUAUCAGUUUCACGCUUGGUCUUCCCUUAAUUAUCCUCAGUUUGACAAUACCGCACCCCGCAUUGUCAUGUGCUUAUCCUUCGAGGGGGAGCGUGUCAUGGCUACGAUCGAACACUCACUUUCAGAUCGCAGUCAAAAGAGAGGAGGAUGACAAGCCGUCGCUGCGCCCGUGUCCCGUUAGAAGUGCAUCGUGAUGCCAUCAUCUUUCUUAAUGGUGCUCCACUUGUCCUAUUCUCGAUUUUCACUAUUAGUCGUCAUUACAAUGGUGAAAGUUUGAUACCAUCCGUGCAAGUUGGGGAAGCAUAAUUGAGCAGGUUUAUUUGAUCAACUCUUGCAAAGCUGUCCAGGUUCCAUGGAUCAAUUUCGUAUUGGUCAAUGAUUGCAAAGCCUUUUUAGAGAUGUUGCAAGUUUAUUUUAGUUUGAUCAGGUCAGGAAUUGUGGCUGAAUCUUAUAACAGAGCAAAAAACGUAUUCGAUCGAAUCUUUCGUUCAAUCCGGCAACCCACUAAGCUCUUAAAGAAAGCCGGCCUGGCCCGACCGGGCCUGGUUUCAGGUGGACCGGUCGUUCUGGACUGCCGAUCUGCCCCCCAAUGGCCCACUCGCGCAUUUUCAGGUCAUUUUUUUUUCUAGAGAAAGAAGAAAAAAAGAUUAGCAAGGAAGCGAAUGCGGUGUGGAGCUGCACGCACGGCGCGGGGUUAGGUCAAGCCGCGGUUGCGACGCGGUGGGCGAGCCGAACCAAGCGGCGAUUGAGGCGAAGGGGUGGCGAGCGUGGCGGCCGGAGAUGUCGCAGAAGAGGCAGCCGGAGGAGAGCGACGGCCCGCGCCGCGGCGGCGGCGGCGGAGAGGCUGGCGGGAGCUCGUCCUCCUCCUCCCUGCCUUACCGCCCCGGCGAGCCGAAGCGCCCGAGGGUCGCCCUCCGCGAGUAAGUUCGCCCUUCCCCCCUCACGGUCUCGAUUGGAAUCCCCCGGUUUGGAUUGUGCCGAUUAGUGGGCGUCGCUCUCUGAUUCGGGGCUGUGGUGGCUUCCUCUUCCUGCAGUGUGAUCACGGAGGUGAUGCGGAACACCAGCAUUGAGAAGUUCUUCAUGGCGAUCGAGCCCCUCAUCCGGAGAGUGGUGAGACCGCCUUUUAUUUCCGUUAUUAUGUGCUCCCAUUUCUCGAUUCCGUGGCUUGAAAUUUCAUAGGGUUUGGAUAUUUGGUAUGAUGUGCGCCCUUCAGACUGUAUUUCAUUUCUAUCAUUUGGUUGGUUAUUUUGACGAUCCAUAGUACUAUCUGUAUCUGCUGCUGAUUAUACCCGCGUAUUAGUUAUGGGUCAUUCAAUCAAUUGGCUAAUUGAGAAGUUGCAAACAUGCUUAAAUUACUUCAACCGUUCCCAAUUCUAUGUAUUGGAGCCCCUACGAUCCUGCAAAUUGGUUAAUAAUUACCAUGUUUUUGGUUUUUAUGUUACUGCAGCAAAUUCUUGUUUAACAUCCAAACUACUUCUUGGAGAAGCUAUGCUUUUAUCUGUAUCAUAUUAAUAGCUGUAUAGGCAACCCUACAAAAUAAAGCUUUGUUCCCUGUUUCUAUUUUGUGCCCAGCCAUUCCAAUUCAGAGAUAAUUUUACAGGGGACCACAGCCUAGGUUCGCCUUCAACCAUGUGUUACUUUAGCAAUCUACCGAUGGUUUUGAUAGUCUGUUCAUUUCUAGGUAAAAGAAGAAAUCGAGUCAGCAUUUGCGAAUCAUACCUCUAUGAUGGCAAGGUAUGGCGUUUUUUAACACUACUUUGACAACCACCAUGAUUUGUGUUGGUCUCUGUAUCGCUAAUGAGUUUUUUUUUAUUUUUUUAUUAGAAGUGUCACGGACACUCUCCCAUGUCCAUCAAAGAAUUUGAAGCUGCAGUUCAUGACUAAACUUUCUCUUCCAAUAUUUACUGGCUCUAAGAUUGAAGGAGAGGGCUCCUUAAGUAUAACCAUUGCUCUAGUCGACACUUUGACGAGACAAGUUGUAGCAUCAGGCAAGGAGUCCUUGAUGAAGGUUGAGAUUGUAGUUCUAGAGGGGGAUUUUGAAAGUGGAGAAGAUGAUGAUUGGACAGCUCAAGAAUUCAACAAUAACAUUGUUAAAGAAAGGGAAGGUAAAAGGCCCUUGAUUUCUGGAGAUGUGUAUGUUGGCCUUAUUGAUGGCAUUGGAACAGUAGGGGAACUUUCAUUCACAGAUAACUCCAGUUGGACACGGAGCAGAAAGUUCAGGCUAGGUGCAAGAACUGAGGAUGGUUGUUUCAACGGCAUUAGAGUACGGGAAGCAAAAACUGAAUCAUUUGUGGUUAAGGAUCAUCGAGGAGAAUGUGAGUUUCUGAUUUUCUCAAGUUUCAAUGCGCAAGCUCUCCUUUUACUUUCUUGCUCUGCUGGACUCAUGCUAGGCUUCUGAAUGAUUUGGUCUAGUGGCAUUUAAUUUAACAAUUGCAUGAAAAAUAUAAAAUGAAUUUCUUGUUGUCCUCUAGAGUCUAGACUUGGUUGAACAGUAUGUUUCCUUAAGUGAAGGAUUCUGAUAUCCCGCUGAUCUACCUUCUCUAACUGAAUGAUGUGACCUACUAUUUCUCCAUUGCCUUGAAUACUUUUAAAAUGAUAUAAUUUAAUUCAAUGUCUCCUCUUGACCAGUGUACAAGAAGCACCACCCACCAUUUCUUGAUGAUGAAGUAUGGCGCCUGGAGAAAAUUGGCAAGGAUGGUGCUUUUCACAAGCGUUUGAAUAGGGAGAGCAUCUGUACUGUUAAGGAUUUUCUCACUUUACUACAUCUUGAUGGUCCUAGGCUUCGGAAGGUAUUGUUCUGGUCUUCAUUUGUUCUGCUGCUCUGCAUGUUUGUUGCCUAUGGGUAGUUGCAGUUCAUCAAAGAUGUGUACUAUUAACCCCGCUCUAUGUUCAAAUCAUGCAGAUAUUAGGUGGCGGCAUGUCAACAAAGAUGUGGGAGGCCACCGUGGAGCAUGCAGAAACCUGUGUUUUAACUGACAAAGUGCAUUACUACUAUCCAGACAGUCUAAACAAAGCUGGUGUUGUAUUCAAUGUAGUUGGAGAAGUAAGAGGGUUAAUAUCUGAUAAAUUUGUUUCUGUUGAUGAUCUUACUGAAAAGGAGAAGGUAAUGUUCCAUCACUUUCUAAGUUCUUUUGAACAAGUUCACCUGGCUUCCUACACCCCCACCCAUUCUGACCUUGACCAUCUGUUUUUACAUGUUUUCUAUUUUCAGGCUGAAGCACGUGUGGCUGUGAAGCAAGCAUAUGAACACUGGAAGAAUGUCUUUACAUGUGACAACGGAACGCUUGUGGGUAAUCCUUCGCAGCUGUUCAAUAUGAGAUCUCUGUCUUUGCAUGAAAAUCAAUAUAACCCGUUUCCCACGCAAGUUUCUACUGAUGACUUUGGUUUGAGCCAUUCGCCUCUACCAUCACCUGACAUUUUCUCGAUGGAACCAUCGAGUUCCUUAGACCCUUGUGUACUGGAGACUGAGGUGGGCAAUGAAAAUCGAUUUCAGUCAGGGGUGCUCCCAGUUGGUGGCCACGAAGUGCCACAAGAGUCUCAAACACUGGAUAAGUUCUCCAACUCUUUGGUUUACGAGGACAGCAAUCAUCCCCCGUUCAGCGAUAUGUAUUAUGGCCCUGUAGAUCCCAGCAUAUCCUUUGACACACAGGAUCUUGGAGCUGCACUGAAAGGCUUCAUUGCAACCAUAUCGAAGCCUAAGGCUUACAGAGGGUGGAGGACACUGUCUUAUGUGCUAGGAUGGAUUUUCUAUACCAAGAGAAUUGUAGCAAGGAGAAAGAAAUAUGGGAAAUAAAUGUUUGAUCGAGGCUGUGUCUUUGCGUAGUUAAAUGGUGAAAUACAAGUGGAGAGGAGAUGAUGUACAUUAGAUUCGUUGGUUGUCUUCUCUUGUUUUGGGUGCAGUUGGUAAGCUCUGCUGGUUUCUUGUGCUGUAUAUGAGCAUUUUAUCAGCUAGGGUUCCGAUAUGAGGCUGUAAAUAAUCAGAUGAAGUUUUGUACAGGGUAAGGGAUGCGCAUACAUGUAAUGCACAAGUAUUGGUGAUGAAAAGCCGGGGUUUCGUUUUUGAUGCGACCCGUGUAUUCUGUAAAGCAUGCUGGAUAAAUCUGCACUGUGUUGCGUGCUGCUUUUUAUUGUAGGAAUCCAGUGUUGUGCUGUGCGUGGCAUAAAGGUAUCUUGAGUUGAGAUGCUACUCUAGGGUCAUAUCCCAUCCUAGGGCAGAGGUGGUAAAAAGUUCAUUUUUCACUCCUAGGGCAGAGCUUUCCCAUCAAGAGGCAUAUUCUUAUUCCCAUUGUUCUAGUUUUAUUGGGGCCUUUGUUUUGUUUGAGUAGAUAUGAACUUCCAAAAAUUGAGUAAAAAGGAAAAAGUAAAAGUCAAGUGAACAUCAAGGCCCCUAACUAUAAGCCGUACAAAGCACUCCUGCCCUUAAUGAAGGAGAAGGCGUCGAUUAGAGGCCCAGAGAGACGUUGGGAAACGAAAGCAUUAGUAAAGUACUACAGCAUAGUAUUGUAUAUAACCCUGAUGAUGCUCUCCCAUCAUCACCGAAAGAUGCAAGAAAACUCGAGAAAGACAGAGGUUUGGUUUGGGCAUUUGCAGGAGGAGCCAACGUCUUUAUUCUCUGAUGCACCCCCUGCCAGUCCCUGCGCCCGCCCAAGCACUAACAACAUGGCCGUGUGUGGUUUGUGUCAGGAUCAAGAUCAAACAGCGCACAAGCUUAUUACCUGCCCACAACCUCGUUUAAAUUACUACGUUUACAUGUAUAUAAACAUUUUUUUUGAAAGAUUCAUGUAUAUAAAUAUGAUAUCUGUGUCGGUCGGUCGAUUGAUUCCUUGCUGCUGAGAUGGAUGAAUGAAAUGGUGAAUGGAUCGUCCCCACCCCCAGGAAUAAACAAGAGGGAGGGACAUGGGGGAGGUUCCCAAGAUCCUUUCCUUGCAACUUUCGCCUUGCUUUCGCGACCUGCUCGAGCCCAUGUGGGGAUCACUCGUUCCCUGGGUCCUCCGAAUCGAGUGUCCAGGUCUCCGUGUGGGGUCCCUAAACCCUUAACCGUAACGUAAUAAUCUCUUCGCCUGGAAAAAAUGGCCGUCUAGAACAACCAUCAGUAAGGACACGUUCAUCAUGCCAAUGGAUCGUAUGCCAUCCGUAGUUCGUAGAUGGUCACAUGCUCGUGACGAGAGCAUCCAUCGAUGGCGUCCAGCGUGGUGCUCCCGUUUGCUCACCGGACCUCAGAGCCUCCCCCUCCCUCUCCGUUCACCCCGGCGGUUCGGAGCAAUCGAGUCCCGCGAGGACACCUGCGCGCAGCGAGCAUGAUGGUGUUGGCUAAAACAGCGUCCCCUCACCGCGCCGCCCGCAACAAACAAACCAACGGCCGCCCGGGUCCCAGCCACGCCGCCCGGCCUCUCAAACGGUCAAACUGGCGUGCGCGAGAGGCCCGUGUCUUUGAACGUACGCGCCCGGAGCAGAGGACGCUCGGAGCCAGCCAAAGGACCCGGGGUGGAAUGAAUGAUGGCCUGGCCGCAGUAACUCUCGGCAACCACCGCGCUGCGCGUAGUACGACACCCCCCGGCGGCAGGGGAUGCGGCCGUGCGUGCACAGAGGGGGAGCUGGUGAGGAUCACAUGGAGGGAGCCAGGCCAAAGAGCGUGCCCCCGAGUGGAGUGGAGCCGUGGAGGAGAGCCAGUUUGUCUGGCGCGGUGCGUGCGAGCACCCCUUCUUGCCCGGUCACAGAGGCGAGAGAGGGGCGGCCGUCGGUGAGCCGGCGCUGCGUGCCCGGGAAUACUUUACUCGGGUGCCGCUCGAUGCGCGUGGCAGCGGCCGCGUGAGUCACCGCUGCUCUGCGAGGCCGCGACCUCUGUUCCCUGCCGCGUUGGUGCGCUGCCUCUGCCUCCCCACCCACGACGCACCGCACCGCACCGACCGCUUCAAAUCGCGCGUCGCCACCAGGCGCCCGGCACCUCACUCCUCACUUCUCACUCCUCUUCACUUCACUCCUCGACUCCUCGCCUCGCUGCAGCUCGCUGCUGUCUCGCUAGCUCCCAGGAGAAGAGAGACAGAGACAGAGACAGAGAGGCAGGGAGACGGGAGAGGAAGCAACAAGCCAACGAACAAAGAGCUCCUGAGAUGGCGGCGCCGGCGCCGAAGCAGGAGGAGCUGCAGCCGCACGCCGUCAGGGACCAGCUCCCCGCCGUAUCCUACUGCCUCACAAGCCCGCCGCCAUGGCGUACGUCCUCUUUCUCUCCGCUCCUCCCACGCUAAUCCCCUCGUUCACAUUGCUCUGGUCCUGUACCCUGCCGCCGCCGCCGCCGGCUUCGCGCAUUGCUCUUGGAUCUCUGUCUCGGACGAGACUGACGCGUGACGCCGGCCUCCUCCGGGUUCCUGUUUGCAAUGCAGCGGAGGCCAUCCUCCUCGGGUUCCAGCACUACCUCGUCAUGCUCGGCACCACCGUCAUCAUCCCCACCGCGCUCGUCCCCCAGAUGGGCGGCGGCAAUGUACGUUCCCGACUCCUCUCUCGCUAUCCUUUUCUCUUUCUCUUUCUCUCCUCACCGCCACGGCUGCCGCGCCGGAGCCUGACAAGAAAGCUCGCUUUUCCCCCCCUUUACUCGGGCAGGAGGAGAAGGCGCGGGUCAUCCAGACGCUGCUGUUCGUCGCCGGGAUCAACACGCUGAUCCAGAGCUUCCUCGGCACGCGCCUCCCCGCCGUCAUCGGGGGCUCCUACACCUUCGUCGCGCCCACCAUCUCCAUCAUCCUCGCCGGCCGCUACAGCGGCAUUACCGAUCCCCACGAGGUAACCUCGCCUUCCUCUUCCUCCCCGGCCCACCGAGCCUUUCAUCGUUUCAAUAGACUUUGGUUUUAAUCUGGUGGACCUGUGGCUGCAGAAAUUCCUGCGCAUCAUGCGGGGGACGCAGGGAGCGCUCAUUGUGGCCUCCACCCUCCAAAUCAUCAUGGGCUUCAGCGGCCUUUGGCGCAUUGUCGUCAGGUUGGUUUCAGGUCCCAGUGUCGGGAUGAAUUCAUCAGUGUACCUUGUCUCAUCCCAUCUGUGCUAACUCCUGUUCCUUCGAUCUUGCAGGCUGCUGAGCCCGCUAUCUGCUGCUCCCCUGGUCGCGCUUGUCGGAUUUGGGCUCUAUGAACUGGGAUUUCCAAGCGUAAGUCUUUAUACAUGUACGUUAGACCUGCAUGAAUGUAACAACAGUGAGAUAGUAACAUGAAUUUGCCCUGCAGGUUGCCAAGUGUGUUGAGAUUGGUCUUCCUCAGAUUUUACUGCUUGUGGCUCUUUCUCAGGUAUGAUGCAUCAGGAUGGCUGCUGUGUGAUUUUAACCGUAAAAGUAGCUGCAUCCUUGAGAACGAUGUGUGAUCUUGGUUUUCUCUUGCAGUACAUACCGCAUCUGGUCCCGUUACUGGGUACUGCCUUUGAGAGGUUUGCUGUCGUAAUGUCCAUUGCCGUUGUGUGGCUUUACGCCUUCUUCCUGACAGUUGGUGGCGCGUAUAAGAAUGCUGCUCCCAAAACCCAAUUCCAUUGCCGUACUGAUCGAUCUGGGCUUGUUGGGGGCGCUCCAUGGUAAUAGCAUGCAUCCUUUUGCAUGUUCCUUCACUACUUAAGAGAGCUUUAUAUGUUUGCAUACAUAUUCUGAAUGCUACAUCCUGCAAAGAGCCUGCUUCGCCGCUAGAUUGAUAGAUUAUUCAUCUACAAAUUGCAGGAUAAGUGUACCUUAUCCAUUUCAGUGGGGAGCACCAACCUUUGAUGCCGGUGAAGCUUUUGCUAUGAUGGCAGCUUCCUUUGUUGCUCUUGUGGAGGUAUAUUAUUCAGAUGAACCCAUGAUUUUUUUUGAAGGAAGAACCCAUGAUAUUUAUUAGAACCCAUGAUAUUUAUUUACAGCUUUCUCAUCCUAGAUAGUACUGCAUAUCAUCAAGUUAAUACUCCUUACUGCAUGAUGCAGUCUACUGGUGCAUUCAUUGCUGUUUCACGGUAUGCCAGUGCAACUCCAUGCCCUCCUUCUGUCAUGAGUCGUGGCAUUGGUUGGCAGGUACCAUCUAAAUUUCUCUAUUUGCAGUUAGUGUAUCUGAAAAUUUGAACGACAUGUGAGCAUCUAACUGUCUUAUCUAAUUAAUUUGUCUAUCUGUCAUUCCAGGGGGUUGGCAUUUUGUUGGGUGGCUUAUUUGGAACAGCUAAUGGAUCCUCUGUAUCUGUGUGAGUAGAUUCUAGAUGACUGCUACAACUAGUUUUUAUAGUGUGAUGAUGUGAUCUGAAUUCUACUCAGUAUUGAUCUGAGUUUGCAUUGUUCUGAAACAGUGAAAAUGCUGGGUUGCUCGCUUUGACACGCGUUGGUAGCAGACGUGUUGUGCAGAUUUCUGCUGGAUUUAUGAUAUUCUUCUCCAUUCUUGGUAAGCCUCUGCUUUUAUGUGAAUUAUGUAUUCAACUUCUGGCCAUAAUACUGUGUUAAGUACCUAGCUUAAAGCCUGGAACUGCUUAAGUUUGUUACCUGGACAAAUACAAUCGAGCAGAGCAAUCCAUACUAUGCCCCUGCACUCCUGACAACAAUCAACUGUAUCUAAUGGUAGUGAUUUUGUGCUGCCUUUGUAGGGAAAUUUGGAGCUGUUUUUGCAUCAAUUCCUGGCCCAAUUAUUGCAGCUAUAUAUUGUCUUCUCUUCGCAUAUGUUGGUAUGUAGCACGAAGCCACGAAGUAAAUUGUAAACAUCGUAUAUUUUUUAUAUCAACUGGUUGAAUAAUGAUAGAAGCAAUGCGUUCUGCUGUACAAACAGGUAUGGCAGGUGUUGGGUUCCUUCAGUUCUGCAACCUGAAUAGCUUCCGGACAAAGUUCAUCCUGGGCUUCUCUUUGUUUAUGGGUUUGUCGGUGCCACAGUAUUUCAACGAAUACACUUCUGUCGCAGGCUUUGGUCCAGUACACACACAUGCCAGAUGGGUAAGAUCAAGCUCGAAUCAAAUUUUGGUUUUCUUACAAUAAGAGCAACAAGCUGACAGCUUGACAGAUAGUUCUACCAAAUGCACAUUCAUGCCGCCUUGCACUGUGAAGUUAGAUAUUAUUUCAUGGUGGUUUACAGACAUCAUGCUCCUUUGAUGUUGUAGCCUGGUGCUAUAUUUGAUUUUUGUGUAUAAUAGUUAAUAACCAAACAUCACAUGUCAAAGCAAGUGUUUUGAGUAUUGCCUUCUACUCACUCCGUCCCAAAUAACUAUUCGUUUUGGCUUUGACUUUUCUAGAAACAUAACUUUUGUUACGUAUCUAGACAUACAUACAUCUAGAUCCAUAUUAAAAGUUUUGUAUCUAGAAAAGUCAAAACGAAUAGUAAUUUGGGACGGAGGGAGUAGUAGUUUUAGUGCUUUGAUACACUGAAGAGCUGCAACCUAACUGCUGUUUUCUCUUCUGCUCAUGUCCAGUUCAACGAUAUGAUCAACGUGGUAUUCUCCUCCAAAGCAUUCGUCGGAGGCGCUGUAGCAUAUUUUCUGGACAACACCCUGCACAGGCGUGACGGCACCGUGAGGAAGGACCGGGGGCACCAUUUCUGGGACAGGUUCAGGUCGUUCAAGACAGACCCGCGCAGCGAGGAGUUCUACUCCCUACCAUUCAACCUCAACAAGUUCUUCCCAUCCUUCUGAUCCGCAGCCGGUAACAGAAAACGGGAAAAAAAAUUGUACGGUUAGGUCGUUGACGAAGUGAUUUUGGCGAUGCCACGCCCACGCUGUUGUCUCUCCUAUAUUCUAAUGUACCUCCUGAGUUCUGAAUCUUGUAGAGCUCAGCUUAACUAUGGACGGGAUGGAGGAAUGGCUCGGUAUUUUUGGAUGUAAAUUGGGUUGGAUUCCCGGUUAUGUCAAUAAACUGAAAAUGCCUAACUUCUUUCUACCUCAUCAAUCGUUCUGAUGCAUGUAUGUUAGGGGGUGUUUGAUACUUAUGUAUUAAACUUUAGCAGUGUCACAUCAGAUAUUCGGAUGCUAUUUAGGAGGACUAAACAUGAACUAAUUAUAAAAUUAAUUGCAGAAUUCUAGGGUUAAUUCGCGAGACGAAUCUAUUAAGCCUAAUUAAUCCAUCAUUAGCAAAUGGUUACUGUAGCACCACAUUGUCAAAUCAUGGACUAAUUAGGCUUAAUGGACUAAUUAGGCUUAAUAGAUUCGUCUCACGAAUUAGACUCCAUCUGUGCAAUUAGUUUUGUAAUUAGCCUAUAUUUAAUACUUCUAAUUAGUAUCAAACAUCCAAUGUGACAGGUGUUAAACUUUAGCGGAUGCUCUCCAAACACUCUGUUUCCUGAUGCAUGAUGCAGUGAUGCUCUUACUACGGGAAAUUUUAUCUUCCUUGAGAGUUCAGAGGAAUCAGGUAGGCGACAAGCUGAACACAUGAGGAUGGUCUGAAUUCUUGAUCUGAAUGCACAGUUGCAGGCCAUGCUGGAGUGAUGGGGUGCUGCCAUUUGCAGAUUUCAGAUGAUUUCUGCAGCUCAUUGGUGUCGGCCUUCAGGUCGUCAGAGCCGAUUGCGCGUCCCUGCUGGAAACAAAAGACGGCGCGGUAUGAACUCACACGGCCACAUACCACGGUCAUGGUCAAAUCCAACAGCGUGAAUCUACCCUGAACUGUUGAUGUGAGGUAGCUGUACAACUAGAACGCCAGACCAUUUCAAAGUUCAAACUAUUAAUAUUUUUUAAAAAAACAUUGUGAGUGGCACAUGAUUUUGAGUCGCAUGCACGACCUCGUCAUCAAGUACCAACCGCUAGCAUGCAAAUCUUUUCAUUUUAAAAAAAUAGUACAAGUACAGAGUACUAACGUGCAAACAUGUGGGAAUUGUUUUUUUUUCGCCUCUUUUUACAGAUUACGAAAUCGUAAAAUAGCCGCCGACGCUAAACGUGAUUGAUGUUUACACGAGAACAUUUUUUUAUUUUACUCCAUUUGACGCGUCAAAAACACUGAACCCGAGAGAUCUGUCGCGCUCUAAAAUCCAAACUAAAUUCAAAUUCUCUGAUGGUUCGUUCCUCUGCUGUACUCUGAUUUCUUUUCUGACAACAACAUUAUUCAUUAAUUAUUUUUUUACUUUUAGACCCCCUAAUGAUUGAGUAAUUAUUAAAUAACUACUAUUUCGAUCCCCUCCCUACCGCGCGUUUACGCCCACGUCCUCUGCCCGUUUCCUUUCGGUUUCCUCCACCAUCUCUCUCACAUCAUCGUCGCCACCUCCAUUCGGGUCUCCGUUCCCUUCGGCCUCCGAUCCCUCCACGAGUCCAUCCGAAUCCGAGGUACGCACGCACGCGCAAUUCGCCGCGGCUCUCCCCUCCAUUACGCGAUCCGAUCGAUCUGCGCGGCGUCGCGUCGCGUCGCAGUUCCUUCGCUCUCUUAUUCGGUGGAUCUCGGUGGCGCGCGUGGCUCCUGCAGGAUCCGCGGCGGCGGCGGGCGGGCGGGCGGGCGGUGGUCGGCCGGCGAUGGCGCACCGGGUGGACAACGAGUACGACUACCUAUUCAAGAUCGUGCUCAUCGGCGACUCUGGCGUCGGCAAGUCCAACAUCCUCUCACGGUUCACCCGCAAUGAGUUCUGCCUCGAGUCCAAGUCCACCAUCGGCGUCGAGUUCGCCACUCGCACCCUCCAGGUAAACCCACUCCCUCCCUGCCCUUGAAUCUCGGGACGUGAACGCGAGAGAUUUAUUGCAUUCGAUGCGUUCUGGAUGCGUUCUGGUCAGAGACGAUUGUUUCGGCUUGGGGCUACGGAGACAGAAAUUUGGGAUAGCUAAAUCACUGCGGCUGAUGGGUCUAUUAUAAUGAUUUGGAGGAUGUGGUGCGCUAUGCACAGCAAGAGUAUCAGCAUGUAUCAGAUCUGUGAAGUUUCUUGUGUUGUUAUGAAUGAUUGUAAAUGAUAGGUACAAAUCAACUUUGUAUGGAUAAUAUUUAUGCAUGCAGAGAAGAAAACUAUGAAUUAUGGUUGGGGGUAUAUAUAGGACUAUUUAAAUUUUGAAGUCUAGACUAGAGCAGGCGUGUUGCCAUGCAGUAAGCAGUAUUUGCAGCUUUUCCCUAGUUUUGGUUCUUAUUGCAGUUUAAGCUCUAACUGAAUGGUCGAAUAAGCAGUGAAGCACUUUACAUAAAGACUCGCCUGUGGGAUUUUCUGUCCUCAGCAAGUAAUCUAGUACUGCUGCUCUUUAAUGAAUAUUUUGUCUACACCAAUGAUUUUGAGUCCACACUUGCAACAGUUAAACUAAUUACCACCGUAAAAAAAAGUUGGUUGUAUUGAGUUGCAUGCACAUUGUUGAUGUGUCCUUCAGUUUGGAGGUUUCUCAGCUUGUCUGUCUAAACUCCAUCCAAAUACGCAUAAUUUGCUGUUGUGCUUGUCAGUUUUGUCUGUGGCUUCAAUAUCUAUUGUUGUUCCCCACUUUUUAUUUGGUUGUUUUGUCUCAUUAUCCAAUAACAAGCUGGAGCAUAGACUCAUUUGCUGGUUGUCUUCUACUGUUUUAAGCUAUAAUGCUAUGUUAUUUUAAAUUCCUGUAUUCUAGUUUACUGACAUGAUUUUAUUCCAACUGGAGAAAAUGUUGAUAUACUGGUGGUUUAAUAGUUCUGCCAUAUGUUGUUUUCGAGUUCACUGAUACAUUGCCUGGUGUAUUUACAAAGCAUGCACAAUAUUGUGUUUAUUAUCGUUGCUUGCAAAUCAAUUAUGAAACUAUCACUUUUGCCAGUGGUAGCAAACUGGUUUGUUCAGACUGGUAUGAAAAUGAGCAAUUGCUCAGAGCAUACAUGUGUAUGUAUCUGUAUCUUGGCCAGGAAUAUUUCAGAACAAGGAACUGCCUGGCGAAUGGAUAUCAUGACUUCAUGAGUUAAUGAUUGUGCUGGUACCAUGUACUCGAUUUGUCCUUGCAUGUCAAAGGUGGUCUGUUUUUGUCAAGACAAGUUCUUUGAUUAAUUUAGUACGUAUAAGAAAUUUGGGUGCUGUUUGACUGUACCAUCUUGGCUUUAUAUUCUAUUGUACUGAAAAACCUUGCAAUGUUUUGUUGGCAAUAAAUGAUCGUCACUUUUGCUUAUUUUUCCGCUUCAUUGUAUAGGUAUUUCCACUGUUCUCUUUCGGCAAGCAAUUUAAAAUUAAGUUUUUCUAACACUGUCACUGUGUUACUUGUUCUAACAGAUAGAAGGGAAGACCAUCAAAGCUCAGAUAUGGGAUACUGCUGGGCAAGAGAGGUACCGUGCGAUCACUAGUGCUUACUACAGAGGAGCUGUGGGUGCACUUUUAGUCUACGACAUCACAAAGAAGCAGACAUUUGAAAACAUUCAGAGGUGGCUUCGUGAGCUCCGUGAUCAUGCAGACUCCAACAUUGUGAUCAUGAUGGUUGGUAACAAAUCGGACCUGAACCACCUGAGAUCGGUUCCAGAGGAAGAUGGUCAGGCAUUAGCGGAGAAAGAAGGCCUACACUUCCUGGAGACAUCAGCACUUGAAGCCCUGAAUGUUGAGAAGGCAUUUCAGACUAUCCUCACUGAUAUUCAUCAAAUCAUAAGCAAGAAAGCACUUGCUGCACAGGAGGCAGCAGGCAGUGGACCUCCAGGUCAAGGAACCACCAUCAAUGUUGCUGAUUCGUCUACCAACACGAAGAAAGGAUGCUGUUCUUCCUAGGAGCAAACAAAGAUAUGUUGAUGAUGCAAAAGGAAAGUAUUAUGGAUCUUACAACACUCUAGGUGUUAUGUAGGUUGCUUUGACUCCUUUUGGCCUGUAACUCUGGUGGGGUUGUAAUCACAAUUCAUACUUGUGCAAAGAAAUUCCAAUCUCAGGUAGAUAUGAUGUGUAGUUCCGAAAUUUUGGUAGAGACUGGUGUUUGGCAGACUUCCUUUGAGAGUGUGUUUUCUUUCAGUGUUCUAUCCUAAUAUAGUCUUUCUACUGAAAAACAAAAUCAGGUAUUUCUUGUAUUUCUACAUGAGCUUGUGGUGUUAUCCGACAUUUUGAUUUCUGUGCUAGAACAUCGAUCCAUGUUCCAAACUACACAGCUCAUGUGUUCUCCAUGGUUUUGGCCAUUGUGUUGGUUCAUUCACUUGUUGCCUAGACUACGUGUGAUCCCCUCCAAUAUCAUGCGUACCAUACUUCAGUUUUGUUUUCGUUAUGCAUCAUGAUCUGUCUCUGUUAUUCAUAGUUAUUCCAUUCAGACAGAAUCAGUUCUAACCUAUCUACUUUAGCAUAAUCCUCUUUUCAGUUGCACUGUAAAGCUCCAUCUUCGCUGUCAGUAGUGAGCGGCAAUGCAUAACUCGUGCAAAGUACCUCAACCCCCUUUCAAACUUUUGAUAUAUUCAUCUAUGGCUUUAUAUCAUUAUAUCACUCUCACCUGAUCCAUUUUGCAACGAUUUAUCCUUUUCUGCUGGGAGAACGACAAGUCAUAGUUUGCACAGCAUUUUUCUUGUGAACCUUAAAAGAUAAGUGUGGCCAGUGUCUGUUACCCUUAACUGUGAUUGAUACCCCUUGUUUCUGUCUUUGCAUCCUUACAUCACUCUCAGCUGAUUCAUUUUGCAGCAUUGUUUUCGCUUUCUGCUAAGAUUGGGACAGAUAAUUCAGAUGCCCAGUCUCUCCGAAAUCAGCUUAUCUUACCAGCAUUCUCUGGAGAACCAUCAAAGAUUAGGCUGGCCAAUGUCCUUUCAGCGAAAUCUUGGUAGAGACUAUCGUUCGGCAGACUUACUACAGUUCAGAGCAAUGCCGUUUUUCUUUCAGUAAGCUAAUCCUAAUAUGUUCUUAAUUAUCCGAAAACUAAAAUCAGGUUUGCAUUUCUAAUUCUACAUGAGUUUUUCGAAACCUGAAGCACAUCCUUCCAUUUUUUUUGUGUUUCCACGUUAUGUUCUUCCAGGCUGCACAGCUUCCACGCUAUUGGCUCAUUGUCUCGUUGCUUCAACUACACUGCUUGCGAUGUCCCUUCUCACGUGAACAAUACUCCAGUAUUCGUGUAGCGUCAUGAUUUGAGCUUAUCAUGUGGUUCAUUGUUGCUAAUGCAUUCUGACAGAAUCAGUUCUCUGAUCUCAGCUUUAGCAUAAACUUCUUUCCAGCUUGCAUUCUGGAACUGCAUCUUCGCUGUCAGUAGCAACCAUGCUUAACGCUUCUUGCUACGGCGACAUUUUCAACCUCUUCAUGCAUGGCUUAUGUCCUCAUUCCGCGUUGCCCGGUCUUUCAAAUUGCUCUCUUAAGUUGACGUCGAAUUCUGCAGAUGCCCGGUCUUUCAGAGACCAACCUGCUAACAACAACAUUUGAAUAGUCUGAAGAACACAAGGACCUUCCAAUAUAAGGUAGGAAGCACCAAAUUCCUUCUUAAUCAUGGUUUAGCAUUUGUAUCACUCUCAGCCGGUUCAUUUUGCACAAUCUAUCGCUUUCUGCAAAGACUCCUGCACAUUAUUCAGAUGCCCAGUCUUUCAGAAAUGAGAUCUGACAGUAUUACCAAAUCUGAAGAGCAUUAUCUGAAUUCUGAAGAACGAAACGAUCGAAAACGAACCCUUGUGAUUUGUCAAGUGUGAGUGCACUCCCUACCAACAACUUGUGAUCUCCAUUUCUUGCAGCUGCUGCUGCCGCGAAGAAGGAAGAACAUGUUCUGUCCACACAAAAAAAUCAGUCAAUCUUUUCAGGCAACGGGCACUUGCAUAGAUGCUUUGCCGCAGAAAAUGGUAGCGAAUGAUGAGAUCGUGCGGGUCGUCCGUCAACUGGAGAGCCUCCUCAAAACCGGAUUCGCAGCGACGCAAAACGUUUUUGCCGAAUCCUGUUCUGUCCCCUCGCCGAGAAUGUGCACGGCCAUUGAUGAUAGAACUUGCUUUCUUCAGACCUCUUUUUUGCAGGCCAAAGCAAAGCAGUUCUAGAAACCUCAGUCUGGCUUUGGCUCGUAGGAUCCAAGUCCAAUACAUCCCUCCGAUUCCAGAUUUCCAGUGGCAGGCAGCCUUGGCCCUGAUCGUGAUCUAUCAUGCAGGUGGCCAUUUGUCAUGUGCUUUAUUUGUAAGGAGCCUCGCUCCCGGGGUUACAAUGUUACAUGGGUUCUGACUCGCCCCUUCUUGGAUUGGUUGGCAUUGCUGAUCAAGGCAAAAACACUGAUCAAAUAUCAAUUGAACCAAGGUAGAAAAUUACCCUUCAUGAUGGAUUGAUGUGAGGCGCACUUUGGAGAAGCAAGUGGGUGUCUGAUGCAAGUGCAACAAGGUGAGCUAACUCGUUACUGGCUACCACAAAUUCUUAUCCCCAAAUGCGCCAAUCAUGUAUGAUAUGUCGCCAAUUUGGUACUCCGAUGGUUACAUUCUCCCAUAGAAAAAUGGCUACAUUCUGAUUCUUUGAAUAUAUCCUAUUAAGAAGCGGUUGUGUAGGCACCACCUUGCCUGUCUUGGAAAAGAAGGUCCAUCCCACGAUCCAUAUGCUUGUCCUCAUCAGGGGUUAGACUCACUAGACCCAUGCUGGAAAUUCACGUUGGCCAGGACAAUAAAAAAUACUCACUUGUGGCUGAGGUGCAAUCUACCACUGAAUAUUUAUUCCAAUUCCUCUCUAGAUGCAGGUUUGGUCGGUGUAGGCCAGGGGUUGACCAGGGGAUUACCCACUAAAUUUGGAGCUAAUCAUUUUGCUUCCAUCAUGAGAUUUGGGUUGGGAAUUUCAUGCUCCACGAUCUAAGGCGCAAAAGUGAAUUUGUGCACAUCUUGGUGAGCAUGGUGUUGAUUUAAGACAACUAUUAUAAUAAGACUCUCUGCAUUGCAGUUGUGCAAAAUGGUGACAACAUGGUACACAGGUGAGAUGAGAAAAAGAAGGGCACAAGGUUAACCUUAUUUACCACUGCCAAACUAACUCUCGGUUGCAUUUUGUUGGAACUGAGUACCAAGGUUAGCUCCAAGAAUUACAAAUCACAGUCCCUUCAGCUAAUACAAAUUGCAAUCAGAUACAGUAUCUAGCUCAAGCAUUUAUCUUUCUACUCUUACUUACAGGCCACUUCAAAAAGGCCUAUCAAUCCGUAUCUUCAGCGCAUCUAAUCUGAUUGGCGUUUCAAAUCAAUCAUGUAAUCCUUUCAGCACAUUGUACACGACCAAAUUUCCAAUCAAUCCAUCUGGCUCAUAAUGACCGCUAACGGACCGAAGAAAAAAGAUACCGGUAUGUCAUUAUAUAGCCAAAGCACAUGUCAACAGUCAACUGCUGUUGUUUCAGAUAGCGCCAACGAUCGACACGUGGAUCGGCGCCACUAUCGGCAGAUUAGUGAUGCACACCCUCAAUAUAGUAUCCUUUCAACAUGACGAUUUGACAGUAGUUUGGAGAGUGAUGAUGACCAUAAUGGGAGAGCACGCCCACUGUGACCGGACCGGUACAAAUGAUGAUUAUCGUCCUGCUCCCACAAUGCCUGGACCGAUCAAUCCAAAGUUCUUGACAUCAGCUAGCUCAAGAGAUACAGAGGUGCCAUGCAUAGCAGUCCCAUCUGUUUACAAACAGUCACUAGCAAAAUAGUUUGUACCUGAAGCAGUUUCCGGUGGCGGCUGAAGAUCUGCAUUAGCAUCCACUAACUAAUUAGCUCGGUACGAGCUUGCUGUGCAAAUUUCUGACGCAUUUCUUUCAUGUGCUUGAAUUAGUUAGUUGGAUCGAGGCAGGCACUGACUAAAGCAAAACCAAAGUGGUGGUAGCAAAGGUGUGGUGUGGAUCGCAUCCAUCCAUCGAUUGAUCCUUCACCGAUUGCACCCAACUCGACGUUGUCGGCAAUGCAAGUGCAUGCAUGGAUCCGGCCACUAAUUUUCCAGCAAGUUCGUUCGAUGCAUGGAACUACUGCUAAUCUGGGUUAAAAAAACAAAAGUAGUGAUGCUCAUAUAUGGAGCAAGGUAGUGGUUAGCUUAACUUGCAGUGAAUGCUAUAAAUGGGCACAUGUCAAAUUUGCAGUAUGAUUUGUGGAUGAAAUCAUUCGGUUCGGUCAGAGAUAAAAUGGAUGUGAUUAGCUGCGAGCUGAGUGACAGACGAAUGGCACAUCAAGUAGUUAUCGUCUGACCUUGAAAAUGAUUGUGCUCCACCGCUGCACUUGGUCGAUCAGUGCGUGCAUUGUUCAUCCUUUUUCGUCAAAUCUCAGUUCUUCCGGCAGUGUAUCGUUGGCUGUUGUCAACUUUCUUUUCGGUCGACAAUGUGUACUGGAGCAAAUCCCAUCCAUGAUCCAACUUUGACUGGUUUCAAAUUUCAAACACUGAGGACGACCACUAAUAGCUACUUUUUAGGUUUAUGCAUAGCUAUACAAUUUUUCAGAUAAUUCUUACAAGUUGCUGCAUUUUUCUGCGCUGCAAACAUGACGGUAUUAACGUUUUAAUUACAAAGCUAGAGGCGUCCACUUGCAUUUGUGAUCAAAAUAAGACCAGAACUUCUUUUUGCAAAAAUAAAUAGCCUUUCUAGCCACAUAGCCUUCAUGAUUAGAGAGAUUCAAGGAGUAACAAGAAGUGGUGUAAGCAAUAUGACAACUCAAAGUGAGAGAAAUAAAAGAUAGAAGGCAAAGAAUCACGAUGGUGUAUGACAAUAUGACACACUAUGACACUAGAUAGUAGAUCAAUCCAUUCGAUUGCAAAGCAAGACAAAGCUUGCAAAAUUUGAAGUAAUUAACUAUGAAUAAUGCCAAAUAUGAAUUGAUGAAUGAAGGUUAUAUUAUCUUUUAUAUUCAUCAAAAACUGCUAUAUUUAAAACAUUCAGAUUUUUUUAGGCAGCUUAAAAGCAUAUUAUAAUUUAUUUAUAUAUUUCAUUCACAGUUCUUGCUACAGUUACCCACUGCAAAUUAGUAUCCUUUUUACAAAUACUAUUGCAGCUAUUUAUCAACCAAAACUAGUUACUAUUUGUCGAUUAAAAGGAAAACACACGAGAUUAGAUCAUCCAGUUUACUGCAAAUCAUUUUUUUUUUGCUACUGAUGAUACACCCAUUACGAAAAAUCGGUGUCGCAUCAAUGGAAUCCACACAUAAUAUUCGGGUGGAAGUACUUGUCGCACAACGGUAAAAUCGACAUUUUCCCCCCUCGGAUAUGGGCUACCUAGGCGAUAUAUUCAGGAAUAAGAAUGUGUUGAUUAGAAUGCACAAUCACUUCUGAUUGACCCUUCAUGUUAUAGUAGCCUUCUAGGUUUACCCACCAACUCUUUUUUUUAGAAAAAAAAGGUUUACCCACUAACUCAAUAUGAUAAUCGGCUCUAAAAGUGGCGUCAUCUUGAUCAAAACUAAGAAAAUUGACCAAGCUAUGGGCUUCAAAAUCCGACUUAUUAUACUCAGACCCACUUGAGGAAACGAAAAUUUUAAUAAAAGAGAGAAAGUAUCCUACCGUAUUUGGUUCUCUAGAGACAGACAGAUUCUUGAAAAAGCUAUCUUCUAGAGAUUGUCAAUUAGAGAUGGAGGUUGGCCAAUCUUUAAGCUCGGUUACAGUUGUUACAAGACGUGAAAAAAAAGAAAAGAAACCACCCCCUUUGUUUGAAACAUAGCAUAUGCCUUGUUCAUUAAUACAAAGAUAUAUUAUUUCAUACUCCAAUAUAGAAUGUAUCUAUCAAGAUUUAAUCUAAUAUUUUGUAAAUUGUAGGAUAUAGCUUUAAUAUCAUUAGAUUCAUAUUUAGAAGCAUUUCUAUAGUGUUGACCUUAUGGACACAUACCAUCUCAUAUGGAGUAGGAGAUAUUAACUGUUACUAGCGUUAGAGACCAGGUCAGUCAAAUCGAACCUUACAUUUGUAAAACGGAAGAAGUAUUUUUAAAAGUAACUUCGCAUGCUUGCAUGCAUACAUUAUGAAACGGACCCGAAUUCCUAUUUCUGAGAAUUCAAGCCUACGCACCUCGAUGAUAAUUUUAGGAAGGCUAUCACGUGCGAAUCCCUAUCUCAGGUAGUACAAACCCAUACCAACAUAAAAACAGAGAGAGAAACAGAAUACAAACAUCAUAGGUAACAUGAGUACGAGUACAUCUCAGCGGCACAUGUCGGUACAAGUCCAUCAGGACUGAAUCAAGAAAGGUAAAAUAUCUACGCAGCGGAAACAUAAGCUAUGGCGAACUCCAUCUCCAGAGGCAACUCGAGCGAAGAAUGGUCUCUAGUCUUCCCAACCGUUGUUGUCGAAGUCGUAGUCGGGCUCCGACCCUGAAAAGCCACAAUCUACCUGAGAAGCAGGUAGGCCAUGUCAACUCCCAAAAGCAGCAGAGCCAAGGAAACAGGGGAAAUAUACUAUAUGCAUGGAUAAACCUAUAUAUGGUUGUAGAGGUUUAUGCAGCAACUGCAGCAGCAAUCAAGGAAGCAACUAUGCAACAUCAUCUCCGAGGUCAACACCUCAAACAAGGAAGUCGCCACAAAUCACCGGAUCCUUUACCCAAGGGUCCAGCACCCAAACACACUAGGCAAUGUGAGAACUCCCUCCCCUCACAUCUCAAUGGCAAACGCCAGCCUAUCUCAAAAAGGGGAAAGGUGGAAGUACAAGAGAAGUCUAGUAAGAAGUAGCGGUAGUCAACAACACUGUCCAUAACCAGUGGACACGGACUAUAGCUAUAGCUUUAUACACUCUGCAGAGGUUCUAUAACUGUAUCCGCACGGAUGGAGCUUGAACGGUAGUGAACCGUCCAAACCCCGCCUAGCAGCCGGAGCCCUAGUAAGUGGAUAGCUCUCUCCUGUUUCCUCGAUUCUGGAACCGUCCUCAGCUGUAGGGCACACCGUCACCAAUGAGGACCUCGAAGCUAUGAAACCUACCCACACUAGGGUGCAGUCUAGUUAGAGCAAGUCAACGCCUCGAACUCCUUACACGAUCCUCCAAUCCACCUACAAGCAGAGCACUAUCCACUACUAGUCUUGGACCGAACCCCGCCCAUAACGUAAGCGAGUGGUAAGUAUGAAAAGUAGCUGAUGUGACUGGUGGUAAAUUGACUCGGUCCUUAAGCGGCUGAGAGCGAGCACUCAGCCAACAAGUAUGUGCCGAAGCACUAGCAAUGUACAAGUACGCCACCUGCUCCUUAGUAACAAAUAAGGUACCCACCACAGGUAUGGGGUAUAGAGAGAGUCCAGAAAGCUCUCUCUUGGCAAGGGACUCCUUAGUACCAAUCAUGGCUCGCUCCCGCCAAGAACACAUCAAGGAGUCACACUCACCCAAAACACACGCGAGAGUAUUCAAGGAAUCCCAUCACCAAAUCCAUGGCAAAUACGCAUCCAUAACUCAAAAGCAUAUAAAUGGAUAAAUGAGCGUUGGACUAGCUAGGGGUCCGUAGUUAGUCCACAAAAGUAGGUAACCAAGAAAAACAGGAUUAAACAAUUAUCAAGGCAUGACUAAAAAUAUUAGCUAUGCAAUCCAUCAUCACCAAGCAAUAUAAGUAAAGCACUAGCAAAUAAGCAUGCAUAGGAUCUAUAUAAUUGGGAGUGACAUGAUACUUUGUCCGUAGUCGAUUGGGUCCUCCUCGGUGUAGUCGAGGUCUUGAAGGUCUUCCUGGUCGUAGCUCGGAUUUGAACAGAACAAGAUACGACGAAACGUAAAUUAAACGGCAUUACAUCUAGGCAAAAACUCCAAUAAAGCCAAAUUUAGAAGAUCCAAAUAAUACCAAACUAGCAACAAACAACACGGGCUCGAUUUUACGAAUUUAAUGCAACUACUUUCGGAGUUAAAAUAAAUUAGUUAUGAAUUUUUAAAGAUUAUUAAAGGAUUUAUUUAAUUAUUUAGUAAUUUCAAACAAAUAUUUAUUAAAUGUGACAUGUGUCAGCUUGUGGUUGCUCCACGUGGCACCCCCUCGGGUUGCCACGUGUCCUGCUAACGUCAGCGUUGACCUGAUCAACGGUCAACAUGGGCCCAUCGGGUUAGUGGGCCCACAAGUGGGCCCGACCAGCCACAUCAGCGCCACGUGGUGCCUACGUGGCAGCCACGUGGGCGGCGGCAUGGCGUGCGGGCAACGGUGAGUGCACGUAGGCGAGCGCGGCACAGCACAGCGGGCACACACGGGCGCGGCGUGGCAGGUGCAAGCGAGCACUGGCGCGGCACGGUUGGGCAUCCCUUGGUCGCGGCAUGGCCGCGGCGGCCCACGGCGAGCGGCGGCAUCUACGGCUACGCUAAGGCUACGACACAACUAACAGCAAGGGGAAAGGAGGAGGGAUGCGAGGCUCACGGCAAGGCGGGUGAAGAGGAAUAGCGUCGGCGGCAGCUUCCUUCGGCGGCGGCGUGGCGGCUCCCGCGGGCAGACUCCUCCUCUUGCUCUUCUUCUCUUCCUCUUCUCCUCCUUCUCCUUCAUCUCCUUCUUCUCCUUCAUCUCCUUCUUCUCUUCUUCCCCGCGACCCUCCUCUCACUUUCUCUCUCGGCGAUGGCGGCGCAAGGGGAGAACCCUGGGCGGCUAGGGAUAGUGAGGCUGGAGGGAGGGGCGCGGCUCCUUUUAUAGCGGCGAAGAGGCGGUACAAGGGCACAAUUGUGCUCCGCCAUCCAUCCUCGGUGUCCGCGCCUGAUGAUGGCGUGGCACCAAUCCGGCAACUCUGCGGCUAGGAUUAAGGCGCGGGCGGCGGGCGCUCCGGGGGCACGGAGGGGAAUUCCCCUCUGCGGAAGCCUCUAGAAGGGGACACGGAGGCGCCUCCGGUCGGGGGUGUGCGCCAGCGCGACGCCCUUGCCCGCCCGUGAGCGUGCACGUACCGGGCGCGUGACUCGUACGGGCGGGAGGUGGAAGAAAGGCGCACAGGGCACACCGACAGGUGGGGCCGGUUGGUCAGCGAGAGAAGGCACGGGCGAGCGCGCAGAACGCUUGCGCGAGCGUGAGCUGGGCCGAGCAAGCGACUUGGGUGGUGGCGGCCUGCUGGGCAGCGCAGAGCGGUGCGGGCGAGCUAGGCCGAGCAAGCACGAUGCGGGCGAGCUGCGGGGCGGCGCGUGGUUGAGAGGAGAGGUAGGUUAGUGGGCCAGACCGGCUCAGCUUAGCGGGCCGGUCCAGUGGGCUGGGUUAGUUUAGGUUAGUUUUUAUUUAGUUUUAGAUUUAGAGUUAGAUUUAGAUUUUAGUUUGAAUUUUGAAUUGAAUUCAAAAUUCAAACAACACUUGAACAUGAACUCCAAAUAAAAUCCAAAAGAUCCAAAUCAAGCCACACAAAUUUUUAAAUGGGAUUUAGGGAUGAGAGAGAAAUUAUCUAGUUUUUCAAAUGAGCACACAAUUCGAACAAAAAGUUUUAAAUUUUUGCAAAAUUCACUCAUACAAAUAUUACAAAUUUUUUUUUGAAUAUUACACAUUAAAUAUAGUAAGUCUUUGAAACGGCGACAAUGAUGUGCUGUGCAGUCAUAUUCAAUUGUUUCUUUACUGCAUCCAAGAUGGAAAUACACGCACCUUGUAAUUUCAAACGAGGAGAACACCAGAUUCAGGCAACCACACUCAUUUGCGUAGUUCAAGCUGUUUGCUCGGCCAGACAAGCCCCAUUAAAACCUUUGUCCUCGGACACCCGAGACGCUGGAAACAAACAGCUGGAUACCUGCCUGCGCGUAUAAACAGCUCAGUUUGCUUGCUUCCAUGAUCACAGUGGCAAGAGAUCCAAGCGCACCACCGCGGCGCGGGCUGCAGGAUCCAGCCAUCCGGAUUGCAUCAUUGCUGAUGGCUGGCAUUUGGACCUCUGACUUCUGGACACGAACUGAACCGGCAAACAAUUGUAGCUGACAACCGGUGGUCUGCUACGGUUUGUAGCUGGCCUUGAAUGCAAUGCAGGCGUUACACAUAAUAGUCUCGUUCAUCUGCCUGCGAGGGACGCUAUACAUAGUAUAGUUCAGGUCAUGGCAGCACAUCUAGUGGACUCCGUGAGGAACAUAAGAACUUGCCAAAGAAAUCGAGAGAUAUUGUUGAAUACUACGCACUUAGCCUCGUAGUGUCAUGUAUAGAUUUCAAAAUAAGUUCCUUUUUAUGAGUAGAUCUACUGUAAUCUUCGCAACCCUUUUGCUCUGACUUGUUAAUUUUCGCUGAUACGACGUGGUACCAGACCCGCCGCUUUUGGUUCUGAGCCAGCCAGCGAUCUCGAUCUCCCCCAUUAGUGCUGCCUCUUUACUGAACAAUUGCCAGAUUAACAAAUUCCCUCCAUGGAUUCGCCUGCGUGGCCUUGCCUUUGCUCGAUUCGAUUCGUGCCCAUCGUCGUCCAUCUCCUCAACAGCGACCACCCGGUGCCGCAAUUCCGGCCGCUUUCCUAUUCCCCCGGCCGCUCCCGUGCUGCCAUGUGGGCCCCACAGGGGGGGGCGCUUAUAUAAAGGCCCUCCUCCCUUCUCGGCCUCUCAGACCACCAAACCAAGAACUAGAUAGAUCAUAGAUAGAUCAAACAAAACAACCCUCUCCUCUCUUUCUCUCUUGACGACUGGCAAAUAUAGGAAUCGAGAUUGACUUCAUGGAGAAAAGCUUGAGGGUUGGUUCCAUGGAGGACCGCCGGGAAUGGGUACACGACUCCUCCGUCGAUCACCGCGGGAGGCCGCCCUCCCGUGACGCCACCGGCUCGUGGAAGGCCGCCAUGUUCAUCAUCAGUGAGUACCCACUGUCCAGAGAUCAUCGAGCUCCAUGCACCGACCAGCUGUUUUUCUGUCGUCGGCGUGUUCUUCGGGUCGAUUAAUUCGUUCCUAGCUUUUCCUCUCCCAAAAUAGGUGAUCACUGAUUUCGUCUUCCUCCUUUGGUCGAUUGGCAUGCAGUGAUCGAGUUCAGCGAGAGGCUCAGCUAUUUCGGGAUCGCGACGAGCCUGAUGCUCUACCUCACCAAGGUGCUGCAGGAGGAGAUGAAGGUCGCUGCCAAGAACGUCAACUACUGGACCAGCGUCACCACGCUCAUGCCCUUGCUCGGCGGCUUCCUCGCCGACGGAUACCUCGGCAGGUUCUCCACCGUCGUCUGCUCCACCGUCGUCUACCUCCUGGUGAGCUGCUGAUGUCCCUUUGAAUUCUUCUCGCAUGCAUGCAUUGAAUCUCUCAGCUCCGUCCGUUGACGCGUGUUUUCUUGUCGUCGUUCCAGGGCCUGAUGGUCCUGGCCACGGCGCAGCUGUCGCCGAGGCUGACGCCCAACCACUCGCUGCGGCUCCACGAGACGCUCUUCUUCGUCGGGAUAUACCUGGUGUCCGUCGGCACCGGCGGGCACAAGCCGGCGCUAGAGAGCUUCGGCGCCGACCAGUUCGACGAGAGCCACGCGGCGGAGCGGGUCCAGAAGAUGUCCUUCUUCAACUGGUGGAACUGCGCGCUCUGCUCCGGCGUCCUGCUCGGCGUCACCGUCAUCGUCUACGCGCAGGACCGCAUCGGCUGGGGCGCCGCCAGCGUCGUGCUCGCCGCCGUCAUGGCCGCCUCGCUCGUCGUCUUCCUCGCCGGCUGGAGGUUCUACCGCUACAGGGUGCCGGAGGGCAGCCCGCUGACGCCGCUGCUCCAGGUCGUCGUCGCCGCCGUCAGGAAGAGGCGCCUCGCGCUGCCGGCCGACGCCGGCGAGCUGUACGAGGUCAAGCCGCAGAAUAUCAAGAAGAGGCUGCUUUGCCACACCCACCAGCUCCGGUAAGAACUGGCGUUGCUUUCCUUUCCUUUCGCCGGCCAUUAAAGUGGUCGAUCGUGAGGUGCAAUUGCUGGCUACAAUUGUUGCAACCGUCGCUAGUGACCAGUGAUUGCGAUACGAGUUUAUCCAAUUCUGCUUCUUUCGGAUGAACAAAUCCGGAGCAAAUCUUUGAAAAGCAAAAGGGAACACAGAAACCCAGCAUUACAUUUACGAUGAAAUGUUGAGUGUGACGCAUGUGGUACGUGACGUACGUGCAGGUUCCUGGACAAGGCGGCCAUAGUGGAGCACGACGGCGGCGAGGACGCGGCCGGGCCGUGGCGGCUCGCGACGGUGACGCAGGUGGAGGAGACGAAGCUGGUGCUUGCCAUGGUGCCCAUCUGGGUGGCGACGCUGCCCUUCGGCAUGGCGGCGGCGCAGGUGUCCACCUUCUUCAUCAAGCAGGGCAGCAUGAUGGACCGGCGCAUGGGCCCGCACUUCGUUCUCCCGCCGGCGUCCAUCUUCGCGCUGUCCGCCAUCAGCAUGAUCGCCACCGUCGCGGUCUACGACAAGGUGCUGGUGCCGUUCCUGCGGCGCGCCACGGGCGGCGAGCGCGGGAUCAGCAUCCUGCGGCGCGUGGGCAUCGGCAUGGUGCUCGCCGUGGUGGCGCUCGCCGUGGCGGCCGUGGUCGAGCGUCGGCGCCUGCUGUCCCCCUCGCCGGCGUCCAUGUCGGUGUUCUGGCUGCUGCCGCAGUUCGUGCUGAUCGGUGUAGGCGACGGGUUCGCGCUGGUGGGGCUCCAGGAGUACUUCUACGACCAGGUCCCCGACAACAUGCGCAGCCUGGGCAUCGGGCUGUACCUGAGCGUGAUCGGCGCCGGGAGCUUCCUGAGCAGCCUGGUGAUCACGGCGGCGGACAGGGCGAGCUCCCGCGGCGGCCACGCCAGCUGGUUCGCCAAGGACCUCAACCGUAGCAGGCUCGACCUCUUCUACUGGCUACUGGCAUGCAUCGGCGCUGCCAACCUGGUGUUCUACGCGUUGGUCUCCACCAAGUACUCGUACAAGACCGUCAGCGGGGCCGGCAAGGUCGGCGUCGACAAGUCCGGCGACAUCGAGUGCGCCGCCGCCGCCUAGCUGAUCGAUCGAUAGCUAGCUGGAGAUCAUUAGCGGCUGGUAAUUCGAUUUAUAAGAUGUGUAUGAUAAUGUGUACUAUGUCAUCAGUUAUCGUGUGUGUCACUCUAGCUAGGGUACAUGUCGUCUCAGUGUCACAAGGAUUUAAUUAGCUGGGAUGGAUCGUUCGUGAACUCGCGUGUCGUGGAAUGUACUUGUACAAGUGCGGUUUGGUUCGUUGUAGCGGCGAUUUACCAUGUGCGUGAGCUCGGUUAAUUCGUGACGAGGAAAUGCCAAAAAGAAAUGGAAUGGCAAACGGGCGCGGCGGGCCGGGGAACUCGUCUCCGACUCCGGCGACGGCGGAAUCGCGAAGGUUAGGGGCGACGUUCCAAUAUGACGAUAGAUGGGGAGAAGUUGGGCUGAAACGCUCGGCCCGAAAUUAUUUAGUUACCGGGUUGUUGGUCGCCACGUUGUGUUUGGUUGAGUUGGGCUGAAAACAAAUUGAUUGGCUCAGUUGGACCGGGCUGAAAAAAGGAGUUGGACGGAGAUCGAUCUAAACGACGCUAGCAAAUCGAGUACUAGUUAUAUUUUCAAAUAGCGCGUUUGGUUGUGCUGUGGUUUUUGUAAAAGUAGGUGGGAGCUGUGAGCUGUAAAAAAGUAGCUGUGAGCUAUGGGCUGUGGAAAAGUCGUUUGGUGGAACCGUUGUAGUUUUUGGAAACACUUACAAGCGAACCCUACAUGUCAUUAAUAGUCCACCCCACUCAACCCUCUCCCUCUCUCAUUGACAAGCGGAUCCCGCUCGUCAGCCCCUUCUUCCUCCUCCUCCUGUUGCCAGUACCAAAGGAGCUCGUGCGGCUGCUCGCGGGGGAGCAGGUGUCGCCCCUGCUGGGAGCUCGCGCCAUGCCGCCACUAGCUGCUCGCUAAAGGAGGAGAGAGGGAGGCGGAGAGGGCUGUUGUCGGCGUGGUCGGUCGGCCGCCGCGUCGGACCCCGCCACCACCACUGGUAGCCCGCGGAAGGAGAGAGGAGCUCGUGGCUAAAGAAAAACAUCAGGAGAGAGGGGAAAGAAACGAAAUAGUAUGCAUGUAACGAGUGGCAGUGGAUAAUUUCUUCCAACUUGAGAAAAUCAAAAAUCCAAGGAAGCACCUCCCUAACUACUGCCAGAAAUGAACUAACUAAAAACUGCCAGUUUUUGGACGGAAAUAGCUGAACCUUUUCGACCCUUUAAUUGGAUUUUAACUUUUGGAAAACAAAAGCAGCCCUCAAAAGUCCAACCAAAAGGAGGCUUAACCAAUUACAUGCGCCACCAAGACAGAGAGACCACUAGCACUAGCACUAGCACUACCACUUUGUUCCUCGGCAAAAGCCGAGGUGGCUGGCAUUGGCUGCGGUCGACGGGUCAAGUAAGAAAAUGAAAAGAUUCUUAUCAGAUCCGGAGAUUCUUAACCAUCUGGCUGUGCGCAUGGUUAAGCAAACAGAAGAAACAAAACCAAGAUCGUGAAACAAAACCAAGAUCUGGCUGUGCGCAUGAUUACUUUAAAUAAUUUUGACUUGGCCUGAACCAAGAUGAUGAGCACAGUCAGAUCUUGACCUGAACCAAGAUGAUGAGCACAGUCAAAAUUAUUUAAAGUAAUUAUCCUGCAGUAUUUAACUCUGGGAAAAGGUAAAGCAAACCUGUGUGAGUUCUGCGUCGCGGCGAGCAGUGGAGGAAGGAGCCGUGGCCGUCUCGCCGGAGCGCGGCCACGUCCUUCGAUCUUCUGUGGCCACGAUCACACACACGCUGCUCCGACUAAGCAGCAAGGCAGGCUCAAGGCUGUGCUCCAGUGGCACAGAAGAUCCGGGCAGGGUUUGUUGUUGCACGAUGAAAGUGAGCCCAUGAAAGUGGCGCUUUCUUCCCUCGAUCUUAUCUCUGGUGACUCAUUUCCGCAUGUGACUCUCGGGACUUAUCAGUUUGUAUCUUCGGUCUUUUGGCAUAUACCCCCUCGUGCUAUCAAGUGUAUUAUUUCCUCAUGGGGGCACCUAUGUUAUCUACAAAUCGAAAAUGAGCCCGUAUUUUACUUACCCUAGUGCAAACCAUUUGUGCAGCUUUUUAUUAACGAAAAAGCUAUCGAGUGCAAAGCUAUCUUUACACUCCUAUAGAUCCUGUACACUAUAACGAGACGAUGUUCGGCUUCUCUACAUCUCCUACUCAUCAUUCUAAUAGGUUAGGUGUUAAGAUUUGGUAUCCUUUGAGCUUAGGAGAUAUCUAAUACAGUAGAUUGAAACUAGCAGCAUUAGAACCAUCACAUGUGGGCGGAACAUUGUUGUGGUCAAGGUGGGCUAUGCCUCCCUUGCAAUUUAGAAUUGCUAGGAGUACUUCUUAACAAAUGACGAUAUUUUAGUUUAUAUAUGGCCACCCAUCUUCUCUCUAAGCGUAUUUAGCCAUCCCCUCUAAAAGUGAAUUCAAGCUCCGCCGCUACAUCAAUAGUAGACAAUUCAUGGCAACAUUAGAAGGGAAAGCGACAACUUGGUUAGCCAGAUUAGGAAGAGUGUAGUGAUCCAUCAUCACUCGAAAAAUAAAAAAAGACAAAAGGACCGGUGGUGAUAAGCACCGGGUGAAAACAACACGACUCGAAAUAUGAAACCAUCAUCCUAGACUCCCAACAAAUGGAGUGCAUCAAAUAAGCCCUUUUUCUUUUUUAUCGCAAAAUUUUUUCUAUAGUCCUUUAUAAUUUCGCACUCUAAUUUCAUCACAGUAGAGGGGUUGUUCUUCAAGUUGCCUGUUUGUCUAUUGCCACUUGCUCGCUUACCAGUGGGCGAGCAGACACGGCACACGGGCUUGGUGCCUUGUCCCCGCGGAGGGGUCCCCGGGUUUCCUUCGCCUUCUAUAAAGAAGGCUUCUAUUAGCCGCGUACAGAUAGAUAAGCAGCAACUCCAGUCCAACCAAAGCACAAACGGAAGAGGAGAGGAAAGACACCCGUUUCUAACAAGACCAAUUCUUGCAAGGAGAAGCAGACAUGAGAACCCAAGUGUUCUUCCUCACAUUCGCCUUGCUCGCAGUGCUCGCGCAAUCCAGCAACAGGCACCACCACCACUCCCAUGUUCAGAGCAAAGGUACCGGAUCUUCUCUUUGUUCUUGCCCAAAAGUCGCUUCUUUUCUUGACAUCGGAAUCCAAGAAUUGCUUGACCUAUUUAAUUUUCUAGUUUCCAAAUAACAAUCAAAGAGUUCGAGAUUCGUUUGAUUUUUCUUGUUACAAGUAUGCAUCAGUUUGGUUUACUCGGUUUGGAAUCUGUCUCUGGUUUCAGGGCAUGGAGGGGGAGGAGGAGGAGGAGGAGAGCUAGCGAGCCGGGGGAAGGCGGCGGCGCGGGCAUGGCCGUGCUGCGACAACUGCGGCGGGUGCACCAAGUCGAUCCCGCCGCUGUGCCAGUGCCUGGACGCGGUGCCCCGCGGGUGCCACCCUGCCUGCCAGGACUGCAUCAAGUCCAGCCUCAGCGCCGAUCCGCCGGUGUACCAGUGCAUGGACCGCGUCCCCAACUUCUGCGACCGCCGCUGCACCGCCGCCGCCGCCCACUGACCGGCCGGCUGAGCGAACGACUGAUUGCUGUGGAUUAUAGAUUUUUGUGUGUAGAGAGAGAGAGAGACGAGGAAUCUGUUCGUCUGAUGAGCAACCAACCAAACCAAUCUUGGGAUUUUUUUUCUCCUUUUGUUUUUUUGUCUUUUGUCUUGACACUGCUCUUUGCCGGCUACUACUGCUUGGUUGACUGUUCUUGGUUGCGACUUGCGAGGAGAUAAGCACGGUGAAUCACCGGAAUUUGGAAAAAAAAAUUGCUUUCCUUGCUGGUUUUUUAGCUUGGUCACGCCGACCCUGCCUCGGAUAAUUGAGGUCCACGCCACACGAGCUUGGCCGAUUUUUCGUCUGGACAUUUUUGGGAACACAGAUGCUGCCUCAGUGCCUCUCUGUCAGGGAUGCAGGAUGAUGGACCUGGACGCUAAUCCGGUCUCCGGCGCGACGCGAGGCCGAGGACGAGUUCCAGGGUCAGAUUCACCCUCCAAAACGACAGGGGUGUUCUCACUGAUCCGAUGACAACAGGCACUGCAAGUGGAGACUCCUACCCCGCACUCGCACUCGCACUCGCAGAUGCGCAUUUUCCGCGAGGAUAUGCGGCAAACAUGCAGCGUCUGAAUUUGGAGCCUAGUUUCUUUCAAAAAAAAUAAAGAAUUUGGAGCCGAGGUGGGGAUAAAGGCAGGGAAUAUGUCAUCCAAGGAAGAAACUAGCUGCGGUGUAUCUGCAUACGUGUUCUUGGUCGAGAAAACUAUGCUGCUACUUGCAACGUGGUAGCAUUGGACACUACAAAUUCAUGAAAAAUCAACAAACUGGUGGAAUUUUCUUUUUUCCAGAGUAGCACGAAAAUCAACAAACGUUCUCUUUUGAAGUCAGGAGAAGGAUUCACUAGUGCACAGCUCUGGUGGAGUUUUCUUUUUUCCAGAGUAGCACGAAAAUCAACAAACGUUCUCUUUUUGAAGUCAGGAGAAGGAUUCACUAGUGCACAGCUCUAAUUUUUUUUGAGGAAAUUGCAGAGCUCUAACAAAGUUUAGAUUAGUACGGAGCUCUAUUUUUUUAGGAAAUUGCAGAGCUCCAAUAAAGUUUAGAUUAGUACAUAGCUCUAUUUUUUUUAGGAAAUUGCAGAGCUCUAAUAAAGUUUAGAUUGAGCAACUCCAAGAGUCUAAAAAAAAUCUCCUCCAAAACUAUCUAUUGGGGACUCUACUAAAAAUUUAUUCUCUUAAAAUCAUGUCAUCCCACAAUAAUAAACUUCCCAAUACUUCAAAACUGACCACGUCAGCACCAAGUAGCUUCAAAAUGCGCCGCCCAUGCUCCGGCCGUGCCGCGUCGGCGGCGGCCUCCGCUCGCUGCUGCUUCUGCUCCUCUUCACCGUGCUCCUCUCCGUCGCCACCUUCUCCCUCCACUCCCCCGACCCCCUCGUCGUCAUCGACGCGCCGCCGUGGAAGCCACAGCUAAUUCGCCCAGUACGGCGGGCCAAUCGUGGCCCUACCCGCAGCAACAUCGGGGCGCACUCCGGUCUCAGCAGCAGUAGACCGGGCACGUACCACCCGCCCGGUCCCACCCAUCGAUGCCGCACCCCGCGUGGAAGAAGUGCGGGCACGGUAGCACCCGCAUGAGCUCGUCGCCCCCGGCGGUGUAGUCGAACAGCCAGAUGUCGCAGCGCUUGCCCGCAUUCCCGCCGCCACCUUCACCUGGGCGUACGUCACGAGCGUGUUGGCACCGAGCGCGCGCUCGCUGUCGUCGUGCACCGCGCCGCCGGUAGGCUCGUAGGCGCACGAGGAGGCGGCGGCGGAUCGGAGACGCUCUUCCACUGGAAGAGCAUCCGUUGGGCAGUGCGUCCAUUGGGCAGCAACCGCGAGCGUUUCAGAGCUCUUAUACUACCUGGAGGCGCCACCGCAGCGUCUUGGAGUGAACGCCACUGCGCCGUCGAUGGAAGGGAGGCGGAGGAAUUGAUGGAGACUACGAAGGACCGGAUCGAACCCGCGCGCCGGCGAAGUCCAGUGGCGUCUCGUGGCCGCAACAACUUUUGAAGUACCACACCGUUAUGUCCUCCACCACUACCUCGAGCACGCACCGCCACUCCCCCGACGGUGUCCAUCACCCACACACGUGCACUCCCUUGACGCCGUCAUGCGGCAGAGAGCAAUUGGGCUGCUUGUCACGGAUGUUGAAGCCACAUUGCCGGAGCCGCCCGCUAGUGGACCUGAGGGACCGCACCAUGCGCUCCACGGACCCCUCCGCGAUGGGCGGCUCACAGAGCACUGUGGCGUGACCGCACCGCCGGCUCAGCCAGUAGAAGCACGUGUCGACAUGGAUCCCAGGGGACGCGGUGUUGAGGCAUCGAGACAUGCCCUGGGCGCCGAGCGUGGUCGUGGCUCAUCUCCCGGUCGCGGAGGUGAAAAACGCCACGAGGACGCGCCGGAAGCGGGUGCGGGUGAGGAUCAUGACGGUAAAGGAGACUACGAAACAGUACUAGAGCGAUCCGAGAAAAACGAUUCGAGGUGAUUGUGGAAGAACCAGUAUGCGGGGCGAUGGAGGUGCUUUUAGCGUCCAUGCAUUUUUACGUGGAGGAUGCAGGGUUGUUGGAGGUAAUUUUUUUUUGUUUUUCUCCAAAAUAAGAUUCUGGGGUAAUUUUGAAGGAGCUCCUGUAGUUGCUCUAAGUAUCAACAAGCACAAACCAGAGAACAGGCUUGUUGGGCCUGUUAUCCGAGCGGUUCUCAUAGAAGCAAUGGCCCAAAACAAGAAAAGGCCCAAAGAGGCCCAGGAGUUCUCGGCGGCAGAGCGGAGAAUCGUUCGGUUCUGUCUGCGAGUUCUUUAGUACCACCUCGGCUGCUGAAUGCGGACGCGCCGCAAGCUCCCGCUAUAAGAUGAGCGCCCCGUGCCCCGUUGCUCCAUACUUACCUGGACGGGGUCGACGGGCGAUCAAGAAGGCCCGUGGCCUAGGUCAGUGGCCCGCAUUGCACUUGGCGGGUGCGCUGGCUUACCAUCUCCCCAAGUGGGAGAGUGGACGUCAUAAUUUGUGGUAGAGGGGGUACGCGUUCGCGCGGCCCCCACCAAUUCUAACAAAUCAAAAUGUUGUCCUUAGCCCUCUGGGCUGUCUCUAGAAACAGGGGCGUUGCUGCAAUUUGUGGUAGAGGGAGUAUUUUACUCGUAUUAAAAAAAUAUUAGCAGUUUCUAGUUGUAUGGUUUGAUCUGAAUGGUUGAAAGAAAUAAAGUUGCGUUAUUUUAUUAGCACGUGCAAAGCCACGCGGCCAAGCUGACCCAGCCAUGGCGACCCAUGGCCUUCUCCCCUCGUCACUCUUCGCAUCCACCACCGCCAUUCGCGCCAUCGCAGCGCCAACCCGCACCUGCCACCGCGUACUCUCCUACGGCACCCGCCGCCGCCGCCCCCUGGCCUUCGGCCGCCGCGCGCCGGCGAUGGACGCCCUCCGCGUGACGGGAGCCGCGGAGCCGCUCCUCCGCCCCUCCGUCGGGGGACACCCCAGGCUCCGCGUAUGCCGCUCGACUUAACCCCCAAUCGGCGGCUAAACAUAGCCGUUGCGCGCCCCCUGCUAUUCUGGGGAGGAAGGCGGGGUCUGGUUGGCGGUGAAGGUCUGACGACAUGGAGGUCGAUGUGCAGGUGCGGACCCAUGCGCAGGGCGAGGGCGAUGCCGGGCGUGGCGCCGCCGCGGAGGGGGACGCGGCCUUCUCGUGGGCACCCGUCAUACUCCCGUAAGCUAUCUGUCAGCCACCUCUCGAAUUUUAGCAUUUGGAGAUUAUCUGGAGUGCGGGGUAGGUGUUGAAAUCAGAAAGGAUGCAUUUAUGGUCUGAUUCGACCUUGCACACGUUCUGAUUGAAGCAACCGAUUAAACUGUGAUCCUUCACUGCAUAGACAGUUUAAACUGUGAUGCUUCAACAUGGAGCAGUCAUAGAAUGUAUGAUGAUGCAGAGUAAUCUAGGAUCUGUUUAAUAUUUCUGUACAGACUGAUGCUUGCCAUAGCAAUGCUUCUUGGUGUAGAGUUUCGAGAAUAAACAAAUAAAAUGGGGUAAUCAGGAAGCCUAUCCAGAUUGCAGCCUUGCAGUACUGAUAGAUCACUGUUCGGAACCUAGGUUCUUGUUCCCUGCAUUGGGCGGUCUCCUUUUCGGCUAUGACAUUGGCGCAACCUCUGGAGCAACAAUCUCUGUACAAGUUAGUCCCCGUUUUGGUUUUUUCUGGAAUUUCCUCUAGCUGACAUACAGUCUCACUGCCACUGGGUGUAUUCUUCUUCAGUCUGCUGAUCUCAGUGGCACCACUUGGUUCAACCUGUCAUCUGUGCAACUAGGCCUUGUGGUAAUCCAAAUUUCUGUGAUUCCUAAGCUUUUGUAUCUCCCUUUUCAUAUCAAUUAUCAAGAUCCAAAUGAGUUUCCUUUUCCUUUUAUUCAGGCAAGUGGUUCACUUUAUGGAGCUCUUGGUGGCUCUAUUCUCGCAUACCGCAUUGCAGAUUUUCUAGGUGAACUGAAAAGCUAAACCAAUUUAAUUGUCCUUACCAUACUUGUUUGAUAAGGGGGUGAAUAACUUCUACCAUCUUGAUACAGGAAGGAGAAUAGAGUUGGUCACCGCAGCUGCAUUAUAUAUUCUUGGUGCUUUGGUCACUGGAUUUGCCCCUAAUUUUGUAGGUCUAAUCAUAGGCCGUAUCCUUUAUGGGAUUGGUAUUGGUUUGGUGAGUACCUGCAGGCACAAAUCUUCUUCCUCCCUAAGAUGAUCCCAGGUUACUGUUAUUAAAAAAAAUCUAAUUUACGAAUGCGUAUAAAAGUGAUUUUCUGGGGAUGAUAAGUACAUUCACUCAAGCUGAGUAACCUGACAAAAUUGUUAUAAACUUAUAAUGUCAUGAUGCCUCAUUAUAGUUUUCUGAUAUGCUAAUCAUUUACUGAAGUGUGAAGUAGCAAAACUAAUUGAUGUCACUGUAGCUUGAUGGUCAUGUUCUGAUAUAACUAAUUAUGGAAUAAGUAGAUAUAAAACAUUCCUGCACUUGAUUAUUCUGAUUCCUAUGAUGGGGUAGAACAUAUUCACUGGUACACCGCAAAAUCAAGCUGGUUGUAUUGCUAAGAUAUUUAAUAUAAUUUUCUUCUUUAAUUUCUGGGGUGGUUACAUUGCGUGUAGCACUUUACCCUAGCCUUUUUGACACCAACUUUCAACAUCCAUAAGCAUCAAAAUUUCCAUGGUUCCAUGCUUUCUUAAAAUGGGAUUCGUAGCAAUUGAAGAGAAUUACAGUUGCAAAGGAGCAUAUGAAUAUUUAGCUAGGGGUUUGGGAGAGUUUAUAGACCAAUGCUGUCCUAAAACAUUUGGUGUUAUGCCACUGAACCAUUAUGGUGCUAUGUGCCAGGCAAUGCAUGGUGCCCCACUUUAUAUUGCAGAGACUUCUCCUCCGCAAAUACGUGGAACAUUGAUAUCUUUGAAGGAGCUGUUUAUUGUGUUAGGAAUACUGGUAAUUAUCUAGUCUUCUGUAUAUUAUACUUUAAUAUACCCAUUUCAUGCCUGCUGACCAUUAAAUAUCUUGCGCAGUUCGGAUAUCUUGUAGGAAGUCUUGAAAUUGACAAUGUAGGAGGAUGGCGGUACAUGUUUGGUUUUGGCGCUCCGCUUGCAGCUAUCAUGGCUAUUGGUAUGUGGACUUUACCACCUUCACCAAAAUGGUUACUUCUCAGGGCAGUUCAAGGAAAGGGGUCUAUGGAGGAUAAUAAAAAGAAGGCAAUUCAAGCCCUUAGAACGUUGAGGGGCCGCUCAACAAGUGAAAAGGUUUUAGCAGAUGAUGUUGAAGAUACCAUUGUCUCUAUUAAGGCAGCCUAUGCAGGACAGGAAGGUGAAGGGAAUAUUUGGGAGGUAUUUGAAGGAGCUAGCUUGAAGGCCUUCACCAUUGGAGGAGGUCUUGUUCUGUUUCAGCAGGUAUUUUGUUCUCUUUAACCCAUGUAUUAGCAGGUUAUUCAAGUUAAAGUUCUGGCCAUGCUCUUAUCUUUUAUUUUUUUAAUUUUAUGCCCUUUUUUUAUCUAUUUUCAAAAUACGGAUGAAUGCUACUUCUUUUUGAGUGGUAGCGUAGACAUGCUGGAUUUUUGUUAUAAAGCUAAACUCUUACUUGACAGAUAACAGGCCAGCCAAGUGUUCUAUAUUAUGCAGCUUCGAUACUUCAGGUACCAAUAUUUUGCUUGGAAUUGUUUGGUGGUAUAGUUUUUAUAUAGAAAAUGUAGAAGUAGGAUACUGUUAUCUGCCCUAUACAUUUCUUGAAUUCAUACAACUCAACGUCUCCAUCUCUAAAGUAUGCCUUAUGUAGACUGCUGGGUUCUCAGCUGCAUCAGAUGCUGCCAGAGUGGCAAUUUUGAUUGGGUUGUUCAAGGUAAUGCAGAAGAUCUACUUCAAUACUUGUAUAUUAGCUGUUUCUGAAUCAUUCUGUGUAGGUAAAAAUGUAAGGAUCUUAUGCUUUCUAUUAGUUUUGAGUUUGUGUAACAAUUCUAUUCUUCGCAGUUGCUAAUGACAGGUGUUGCGGUACUGAAAGUUGAUGAUCUUGGAAGGCGCCCAUUAUUGAUAGGAGGUGUUGGUGGAAUUGUGAGUAUUUGUUCCUUCCUGUUAUUUGAUUAAGUUCUACAUAUUACAUGGAAAGCCCCAUACACACACUUGAAUUCAGUUUGGCAAUUCCACUAAACAUGAACACUGACAAUACUAAUAUUUUAGGUAAUGUAUUAGACUACAACUCUACAUUAGAAUAAGAUAAUUGGUAAACGUAGUAACUUUGUGCAUGUUCUGUCAGGUUUGCAUUCCUAUGUUCUAACUAAAUUGCCUUAUGUUAUCUGUAACCUGUAAAUGCAGGCUCUGUCACUCUUCCUUCUUGCAGCUUACUACAAGAUCCUGAACAACUCCCCCUUUGUUGCUGUUGGCGCUUUACUUCUUUAUGUUGGUGCUUACCAGGUUGGUGCGUUAUUCUGCACGGGGAGCCUGACAAGCACAGCAAUAUUUUUUUCAGGAAUCCACAAAAAGCUUAUACAUCCAUGUGUUUCAGGUCUCAUUUGGUCCAAUUAGUUGGCUAAUGGUGUCUGAGAUAUUUCCACUGCGAACAAGAGGGCGUGGGAUCAGCCUUGCGGUACUAACAAAUUUCGGCUCAAAUGCGUUGGUGACAUUCGCGUUUUCACCCUUGCAGGUAUUGCUUCUCAAGUUCUCAUAUUGCUACCUCCUGGCUCCUGACGUGCAAUUUCAUGAUGUUUAGUUUCUGCAAGUGGAGUCCCCAAAUUACAUGAACAACUAAACGUGUCAAUACCUAGUAGUUGCGACCAAUGAAUCCUUUCUCAAUAAAUACUCAUUUUUAUCCUUGUCAUAGAAAAACUGCUGUUCCCUGUUCUAUGGUCCAAAUUCAGCAUCUUAUCAGGUCCAAACUCCAGACUAGUGUUUAUUUUUGUGUGUGUAUUUCAAAACUCCACCCUCUGCCAACUGAUCUCCAACGCUGGGGUUACCGGACUAGUGUAUUUUGGCUAUCUAUUCGAAUACUGAUAUAGCCUUUUUCAUUUUGCACAAAUACGGGAACAAACAAUACGUGCAGUUCUGCCAACAAUUUAUAUUUCUCUUUUCACCACAGGAAUUCCUUGGGCCAGAGAAUAUAUUUUUCCUGUUUGGGGCCAUAGCAGUGCUCUCCCUUGUGUUUGUGAUCCUCAAUGUUCCCGAGACAAAAGGACUGAGCUUGGAGGAGAUUGAAUCUAAGAUCCUGAAGUAAAAUGGCGUGGUCAAGGCUCCACAAACCCCGGUUGUUGGCCAGAAAGAUUAAUGCCGUUUACAACAUGGAUGCUCACUCGUAGGAUCAGAGUGCGUCAGUCUCAGACUUAGUAGCGCAGUUCACGUCUAGAUGUAAAGUUUUUCCUUCUUGUAAUUAAUAUUUCUGGAUAUGCAUUUGUAGCUACCAAGUCAUAACCACGUCCCAAUUGUCCAUUGCAUCUCAUCCCAUAGCAGCAGUAAGUAAUCGACUAAUCGUCGUGUUCUUGUGACUAUGCUGUAUGUGCUGGUGAGCUGCCGCAAUGAGGACGUCCCCAGUUACCCCCACUGUUUAGUUUUUGUUUUCUGGAACUAUUUUACCCCUACUGUCUGCUGGUGUGAAACUAUGCUGCAGAAAUUUGUUUGUACUUGCUCACUGAUGCUUACCUGUUUAGGUAAGCUAUUUUUCUCUGUUUUAUUUCCCGAAAAAAAAGGAAUGCCGAUGGGGGAACGGCGGAUGUCUUGGGAAGUAGUUUGGCGAUGGAGAAAAGCCAGCAUUACUGUCACUACUGCUCACAGAUGGAUGCAUCUGCAACUAGACUUUGUUUAGCAUCAGGACUGGAGUGUCACCGAACCAAACAGACAUCACAAUCAAGGAGCUCAUGAACAGAAAUGUAAAUCUGACCGACACAUUUAAUACUUGCUUAUCCAGCAUUUGAUUACUACUUAUCCUAACGCAUCUGGCCCAUAUUGCGCGUCCUGGUGGGGUUUGGAAUCGUGCAUUAUAUACUCUUGAUUCAGGAAUAAGCACACCACGGCAACUACUCCGUAUUCAGAUUUUUUUAUAACAAAAUGCAUUAGGAAAUUGAUCCGGUAUCCAGUGUGCUAUUUUUCGUAGAAUUUUCAAGAUAUUGAGGUACGCAACGGAAAUAUGAAAACACAUGAAAAAUGACAUGUCCUGUCGUGUCAUCGUGUGUGGUCACUGAGCUGAGCUUUCAUGCGUCUCCAUAUAGCUGACUAAGCUGAGCAGUUAGGUUCUUGCUUAUCAAACACGUAAGAAUGCAAACACUAACUAUAAAGUUAUAUAUUGUUCCAGGCAGGACUGCGAGAAAGGGAGAUUCUUCAUCCAGUUCGGUUGCGAUUCAGAAGUGCGAGUAGUACAUGAUCAACAAGGAGGGAGGGAACACGUCGUGCCGACUUGAUUGCCUCCAUCGUGGUGGCGGCAGCAGCAGCAACCCGACCGACGAGUCAGUCGCCGAGUAUGAAGUGGGAGCGAGACCGACGACGAUGUGAACCUCCCGCCCAGACCACGACAAGCGGGGGAUCCCGGCGACCUCGUCUAGUCUGGGCGUGGCGGCCGGAGGCCAUGGUCAUGCCCUGGCUGUUGCAGCCUGGCCAUGGUCCAGUUGCCAAAGUCUCCCAGGUCCCAGCGCUAUUCUUUCGGUGCUACACGACGUGCACGUUCCCUCGUGACGUGACGUGGACUUGCACACCAACAAAAGUCUCGGGCUCCGCCGUGCCGGGACGACCCUCCCUCUUGCGCGCGCACACGCGCUCCACGUGCAGGCUCCACGGCUUUCUAAUCUUACCAGCCAUGCUCCACCACCAAACAAUUAAUCCUAGUCUAGAUUCCAAAAGCAAACACCCAGUGCCAUGCACCACAGUUGCACAGGUGAUAAAAAGCACUAUGACUUGUCAAGCAAACUCGUGUUACCAGGCUAGCAGCUACCGUUCCAAUCCACCCGUCGCGCGUCAAGACUACUCGUCCUUUUCAUCAAACAGCAAUGCGACGGACGGUGCGAGUGUGACAACACUCUUAGUAUGACUGACGAUUAAGGAUGGCUUGCUUAUUACUCCCUUCACGUCGUUUUGAUUUUUUUAAUUCAUAGAUAUUAUCACUACUAGGAAAAACAGCUCUAGUAUCGGUUGAGAACCCUCCUCUAGUAUCGGUUUCGCAAUCGGUACUGGCAAUUCGGUACUAGAGGGGUAGAGGGGGAUCGUUUAGUACCGGUUGAAAUAACCGGUACUAAAGGGUAUUAAAAAAAUUAAAAAAACAAAAAUCCCCCUCCCCCGCCGCCUGCCCCUCCACCCGAAGCCGCUCAACCGGCCACUCCCCGCCGCCCCGAUGGCCGCCGCCACCGUGCCUCGCCCCACCGCCACUCCUCACCUCAGGCACGAGGUGAAGGGUGAGUGGAGGGGGAGGAGAGGGGAGGCCGGGGAGGGAGGGAGGGGGCUGGUAGCCUGGAGAGGGAGAGGGAGCGGAUGGAGAGAGGAUAUGAGGAUGAGGGAGGUGGAGCGGAGGGAGCUGAGGAUAAGGACGACCACUAAGGGGGCCAGUGCUUGGCGCGCGGACGGAAAACACUUCAGUACCGGGUGGAGCCCCCACCUGGUACUGAAAGGGGGUCACGGAAGGCUCCUCGGGGACUAUCCAUUAGGUUCGGUACUAAACAUUAGUAUCGGGCUAAAAAGUGACCGGUACUAAGCCUUAGGAUGAGAGGUCAUUUUUCUAGUAGUGUAUUAUGUACCUAAACACAUACUAACCUAAAAAUGAUCUACAAUUUGGAACAGAAGGAGUAGUAUUCAGCUAGCAUUGACUAAGCAAGCAAGUUCAAUUCUUUGCUGGGACGAUGGUGUCCUAAUUUUAUUUCGAUUGGUGACGAGGUGAGUUGCCUGAUGUAUCUGGCCCAUAUGGCGUCCUGGUGGGGGGAACGGGAUCGUGCAUCGUGCCAGCCGGGAAUUAAUAGAAGAGGUCACAAACUCACAAUGAUCCCAACCAGGCGUUGGGUUAAUUAGUGGUUCUAUAGGGACUUUGGAAUCCAAAAAAUACUCCUUUUAGAAAGACAAGCAAGGAAUCAAGCGCCGCGCACCUGACCGGGAAUACGGACAGAAUUCUGCCAUUCAGCACUAGUGCUAAUCAAGCGAAGAUUUCUAACGGUGAAAUCUGACUAUCAGUGACGCUGGUGCUCCCAUUUUUCUAAAUUUAUUUUGGAAUUUAACCGUCGCUAUUCUUUCAGUGGUAGACGGCAUGCCUGUUGACAGCGAGACGAUAGUGGUGCCUUAAUUUUUCGAAGGUGCUUAUAGGAGUAAGGUUGCGUGCGUGUAUUCGUAAUGGUGAGUCUGCAUACAUGUACGUGAGUGUCUGCAUGUGAUUUGAGAAAAAAUAGUAGUGUUAAUCAACAAGGUAAUUAACCCGUCGUGCUGACUUGAAUGCGUCGGCAGCUGCCGGUUGAACCUGGCUCGCCGAGUGACUGAGAGUGAGACUGCCAACCUGCCCAACGAACGAGGGACAGACACUCCCCUCUCCCUUACUUCGUUGUCAAGACGUGUGUUUGGUUGCUUGUAUUAUUUGGUUCGUAUAUGGAAUAGUUUAAAAUAAUAAUAAUUUUUUUAUUUGGUUGGGUGAAUUGUACCGACCUAUCUAGGAUGAAGUCAUCCCACUCAAUACAUUAUUCUAUAAAUAAUUAUGAACUAUAUGGUACAAGUAAAUUGAUUGAACCUACGAUCAAAUAUCAUCCAUAUAUGCAUUGCAGUCCUCGGUCCCGGAGUACGCCUGCGACCCGCGAACACACCGUCCGUCACGCCUGUUCAAUCAGCUGUUCACAGUUGCUGCUGCCCAUGGGCCUCACGUGCUUCGAUCUAGAUGCCUAGUGCCCACUUUGAGCAUCUUCCCCAUGAUAGUCUUCUUCUGACCAUCUUUCUUGAACGCAUACAUCACUUGAGCACCGUAAUCCUGUGCUCCAUCUGCGAAGGCCCAUCUAUAUGCAUGUCACCUAGGUGUUAGGGCUUCAAAGAACUGAACUUUGAGAUCGCUUUUGGUGGCUAGGAGCAACUUCACACGCUGACAUCAUGCAUUUCUUUUUGAACUAAAUUAAGGGCCUGUUUCAGCUUAGCUUCUCGGGUCUACUUUGGAAAGCUGAAACAAACAGUCCAGCUGUUGAAAUUGCUUUUGGAAAGCUAGCUUCUGAGGAAAUGAACUGAAAGCUGGAAAGCUAACUGAGAGGAGCUUUUCCUAACUUUUGGUGUGUUGAGAAGAUAAAAAUUUAUUACAAAAGUCAAUAGCAAAAGAUCAGCAAUCAAAAAGUCAAUUUUCACAUAGCUAGCUUUCCAGCCAAAAACUCAGGACGUUCGGCGGGCCUGUCCUCAUUGUUGUUUUUUCUUUUUUGGGAUAAUACGCUUGGUAGCAAUCUUUCUAACUAAAUCUAAGGACACACAGGAUAUGACAUGGACGAUAGGAGAUGAUUAUGAGAAGAAUGUUGUUGGUGCACUACACGGGCAACCACAAUGUGGUAGAAAAGUAGUCCAUAUGUACUUUUAUUUUCCAUUCAGCCACCUAGUAACAUUGUGCAAGUAAUCCAUAUGUAGGAGUACAAAUUAAUUUUCGGUUAUCUAUAGGAAAUGGUAGUGUUAAUGGCAACAACAUGUUUUGGAAGUGGAUAUAUAACACACAAAUUCCGUACCUUUUUGUGUGUUCGAGAGGAUCCGUGUCCCAACUAGUUUAGUCUUGUUUGGCGAUGACACAUGCACCUACAUCCAGGACCUUAGGGUUAGGAUUAGUGGGUUUUCAAUGUUAGAACUUGGGUUUUACCAUUCUCCGAAAACAGAUGCAAGGGAAGAAGGCAAUCUUGGCAGUGGAAUCAACGGUGCAUUGACAUUAGGGCGGAAUGUAGUGAAGCAGCGGCAUGAAGAAGGUAGCUAAGUAUAAUGGUAUUACAAGGGUGAUGGGAGACGACGAUGAGCAGAAUGUUGCGGCUUGCCGAAGCAUAACCUACUAUUGUGGUUGGAGCACCGACAAGUAUGGGCAACCGUACAGCCGUAGAGGAGAGGGGAGGGUGAGCCGAUCAGGGAUGUUAGGUAAUUUUCUCUUAAUGAAAUACGUGCUAGUGAAAAAAAGGACGUUAGGCAAACAGAUGGGAGCAAUGGAAGAAGGAAACGACGUCAAUGUUUGAUCACCUAAAAAUCGUGUGUUUUCAGCAUUAGAAUCACUAUGAGUGAGAAGUAGACAGGUAAAAACCUCAAGUACCAUGCCACUACUUGCACCAGUCGCAGUAUAGUGUCCAAUAAACCCACAAAUGCAGCGUCAAGACCUGUCGUUCCUACCUCUCCGAUCCUAUGAAGCGAGCAGCCAGCCAGCGCCGUUCCCUCUGAUGCCGUCCACUUCCACGUCCCUCCCGUGCUGCCGUGCACGACAAACCCAGGCGCUCGUGCCGGUGUAGCCAUAGCCCCGAUGACUUUGACGACGCGCUGGGAUUGUUGCGGCCGGAAGCUAUAAGCCGAGCACGCCGGCCGAUCGCUGAGAGAUCAACGUGUCUUGUUCCAGCUCCACCAUGGCGUCUGUUCUUGCCGCGGUGGUGCCCGUCCUGCUCGCUCUUCUGGCUCGAAGCGGAUCACCGGCCGCAGCCGGCGCCGCCACCGAGUUCGUUCUCGCCGGCUUCGCGGGUGCGAACUUGACGGCCAGCGGCGCGGCCGUGGUCACCUCCUCCGGCCUCCUUCGGCUCACCAACGAGACCAACGAGGCGUUCGGGCACGGCUUCCACCCCGCACCGCUGCGGUUCAAGGACGCCUCCACGGGCGCGCCGGUCUCCUUCUCCACCACGUUCGUGGUCGCCAUCCUGCCGCGCUACCCGGACGCGCACGGCCACGGGCUCGCUUUCGCGCUGGCGCCGUCGGCGACCGUGUCGGGAGCCGUGGCGGGGAAGAACCUCGGGCUUUUUAACACGUCGAACCACCUCGGGAAUGGGCAGAGCGAGGUCGUCGCUGUCGAGCUCGACACGGCGAUGGACGAGGAGUUCGCCGACAUCAACGACAACCACGUCGGCGUCGACGUCAACAGCCUAAAGUCCAAUUGCUCGAAGCCAGCGGGCUACGUCGCCGACGCCGGCACCGUCAAGCUCAACGUCAGCUUGGUCUGCGGGGACCCCCUGCAGGUGUGGAUCGAGUACGACGGCGCGAGCACGCGCCUCGAGGUGACCGUGUCACCGGCCGGCGUGCCCAGGCCGGCCGUCCCGCUUGUGUCUUGCGCCGUCAACCUCUCGUCGGUGGUGGCCGACGGCACGUACGUCGGGUUCUCGGCCGCGAACGGCGCUGCCUCGAGCUCGCACUACGUUCUCGGCUGGAGCUUUCGCCUCGGCGGCGGCCGCGCGCCGGACCUCGACCUGUCAAAGCUCCCGCGGGUCCCGUCGUCUAGGCCCAAGAAGACCAUGCAUCCGCAACUGGUCCUGGCGCUGAUCCUGCUUGCCGUCGUGGCGCUCCUCGUGGUGUCAGCGGGCGUCACGCUGUUCGUCGUCUGGCGCCGGCGGUUCACCGAGGUGGAGGAAGAUUGGGAGUUGGAGUACGGACCUCACCGGAUCAGCUACAAAGACCUGCACGCGGCGACCAGAGGCUUCCGCGACGUCAUCGGCGCCGGCGGCUUCGGCCGCGUGUACCAUGGCGUGCUCCGGCGGUCGGGCACGGAGGUCGCCGUCAAGAAGGUGGCCCAUGACUCGCGGCAGGGCUUGCGCGAGUUCGUCUCGGAGAUCGCGAGCAUGAGCCGGCUGCGCCACCGCAACCUGGUCCAGCUCCUCGGCUACUGCCGGCGACGGGGAGAGCUCAUACUCGUCUACGACUACAUGGUCAACGGCAGCCUCGACAAGCACCUAUUCGACGCUGAAAACAGGCCGGCGCUGAGCUGGGAGCGGCGCGCCAAGAUCAUCCGCGACGUUGCCGCCGGGUUGCUGUACCUGCACGAGGAGUGGGAGCAGGUGGUGGUGCACCGCGACAUCAAGGCCAGCAACGUCCUCCUCGACACCGACAUGAACGGCAAGCUCAGCGACUUCGGCCUGGCGCGGCUCUACGACCACGGCAGCGAUUCGCAGACGACGCACGUCAUCGGGACGCUCGGGUACCUCGCGCCGGAGAUGAUCAAGACCGGCAAGGCCACCCCGAGCGCCGACGUGUUCGCGUUCGGCGCCUUCCUGCUCGAGGUGGCCUGCGGCCGGAGGCCCGUGGAGUCACUCAGCAACAACAAUGCGGACCCGGCGGGGCUCGUCGACAACGUCCUCGAGUGCUGGAAGACCGGGAGGAUCAGAGACGCCAGGGACCCGAGGAUCGGCAAGUGCGACGAGGACGACCUCGAGCUGGUGCUCAAGCUCGGGUUGCUAUGCUCGCACCCUGAUCCCCGGUGCCGGCCGAGCAUGAGGCAGGUGGUGCAGGUACUGGAAGGCGCCGCGCCGGUGCCGGAGACGCCGCCGGAAGAUCUAGGCAGCAGCGGCAGGACCUUCGGGUACUACGAGACGUUCGAUGAGUUCCUCAACAUGUUCCCGACGACGAUCGAGGUGGCGACCGUCACGCCGCGCCUUGGUCGCACUCCAGCGCCGAACACCAGCACCUGAUCUCCGGCGGAGUUCUGGCUCUGCCAUCAGCUCUCGUCAAUAAAUUACAAAAUUCUCUUGUAACUAAAUUCAAAUUUCUCUUACCACUAAAUUGCUACAAAAUCGCUGUGAUGUGCUUAGGAUGGUUCAAAUUGGAAAGCAAACAGUUACAAGAUUAGGUGUUGUAAUAAUCUUGUCUAAAGAAGUGAACAUAGGUUGUCAGACAGUUUUAGGAUGAUCAAAGAGUGGUUUUGCUUUCAUAAGUCCUAACACCUAAUUAACCUAAUCGUUGAGGUUUUGUACGUGUAAUUUUUUUUCUGCAAGUGAGUAAUCGUUGAAGUUUUGUAUGUGUAAUCUUUUUUGUAAGUGACCAUAUGAGAUACUAUAAUCUCCGAAAUGUUUUUCUACAUAUUCAUCAUUUUAGAUUUAUAUAUUUUUGAGAUAACUCAUCUUGUAAGUGAUAAGAACUAAAGAUCAUGUUACCACUCAACCAUCAAAAUCACAAAUAAUAAUCUUUUUUUUCCUUAUAUCCUCCCUUCGUUGACCGCAACAUUGACCUACGCAUCAUAGAACAAGCAAACCGGUUCAUGCAACCCAAAAUCCCCACAUUUAAAACUCUGUACCUGUAAUGCAGUGUGCCGUUGCAUCCUCCUCAGUCCCACACGACACGAGCAAGGCAUCAGCCAUCACUCCCGUUUGUCACAAACACAGCCAAAUCCGAUCGAUGUGAACGGCAUCGACCGUUCACCCAGCUAUUCUCUGUCGUUCAUACCUGGUCGCUCGGUUCCCCAGCGAAAUAACAUAGGCAGACCCCCCGCACAUAGCUCUGGCCCAGAGAAUGACUUGAGAUCCUGGCAUCUCUCGAGCGAGCAACUCAGACAUUCGAGUGAUUGACCAUCGAGCCAACACGUGGGGUGGUGCCGACCUGAACGCAUCCAUCAUCGAGUGCCUCUGCCUGCCCAACGCCAACGAACGCCGGCCCGGACCUCGCUCGACCUCGUCGUCAACAAGGCCGGCCGGUCCCGGAGUACGGCGGCCAUACAUCCGGCCUGUGGAAUGCUAAUAACAUGGGAUGGACCUGGCUGGAGAUAUCCAGCAAUGACCACACGGUGUGCAUCGUCCCAAGCUGCAGAGUCAGUCAGUCGUCGUCUUCUAUCACAGCAAACGCAGUACAGUAUUUAAGUAGUGACAGCUACCUGUUCUUGGGUCCCUCUCUGAAUGUUGUACAUGUAUCCGCUGAAUCUGCAUGCAAAUACAGACGGCAGAAGUAGGGACUGAUGACUUGAGGUCUAGACGUCUAAUUAAGCUGAUGUCGACCUCUGGGUACGUAUGCUAUUUACCAAUUUACCACCAUGUUGUUGAUCAAGAUCAGAUAACCACGGUGCUUGUUGCCAGCCUAGAAGGUGCGGUGUGAUGGACAGAGACGGCGGUCACUGCUUGCGAGUGUGGUGCAUGCUUUUGCAUUGCCUGGCCGUUCGUCUGCAAUCGAUAUGAUGUUGUUCAGCUGCCGCGUAAGCUAGGCAAGUCGAUCCACAACUUGGCCGGCAAUUUGCAGUUUCCUUGGCUACGUUAUGCCUCUGGUUAGUACAGUACUAGCUCCAAACUCCCAACUGAAUGCAUGCGAAUGCAAACCACACAGAAGUCUCGAGCUGAAGGGGCCAUUAGCUGGGUAUGUGACAGGGAAUGCGAAUUUGACUUUUGGAAUGCAUGUCGUCGUUUUCCACUGUGAGAAUGACACCUCUACUUGUGUCAAAUUCAGCAAAAACCUAAAGAAUGAUUUGCAAAUUUUAGAUCAAAAAUUUUUACGUCAUAUAUGAAUUGGAGUUUUGCAAAUUCAAAGGUAUCUUAAAGUGAGACACUACACGGCAAAAGCAAUGUGGUGCAGUGCUCCAUAUGAAUAUGCAACACACAUAUAUAUCCUCACUGACAUUUUGCGGAGCUGAAUUUCCAGCAUCUAAAACAAAACAAAAAGGAAUGGGAAAUCUAUAUGUGACUUGAGUAUUCCCUUCAAUAAUUUCUUUUCCGAUUUCAGCUACAUGCACAUAUGACAUCCCUGCUUCAUGUCCGGCAAGAUCAGGGUUCCAGAUUUGGGGAAUUGGAGGCUGCAUUAGAGGAUUUAGAGGGGAGGGAUGUGAAUGAAGGUUAGCCUAGCAGUGGAGGGCCACGGUGGCCACAACGGUGAAGUAGCAUGUGACGGAGGAUGGGCACUGCUGGGGAUCGCCAAAGAACUAAACACCCUCGAGCGCCAUUCGUGGGCAUAGUUUUCCAAAUGGGCCGCCCGGCCCUAGCCCGGCACUAACCCAUCCUGGCCCAGCACUAAUAGGCCCGAAGGGUUUUCGUGCCGGGCUGGGCUGGCACUGCGUGCCGAGGAGGCAGCCCAGGCCCGGCCCGACGACCUUUUUAUCGGGCUGGGCCAGCCCACAACACGACGGGCCAUGCCGUGCUAGUGCCCGGCCCGGCACUAGCAGCAGCGGCCGGCUCCAGUUGCCCUCGGAGGGCGGCGACGGUCGGCGGCCGGCCCCCCGCGUCGGCCCCUGGCGGCGGCGGCGGCGGCGGCUGGCCCCCCGCGUCGACCUCGGGCAGCUGCGGCGGCCGGCCCCCCGCGGCAGCCUCGGGCGACGGCGGCUGGCCCCUUGCGGUGGGCAUGGCGACCACCGUCGCCAAGCAAGCAGGAAGGUGGGACUGUGGGAGGACCCUGGGAGGCGGACGGGUGGAUGGUCAAAUGGGGGGAAAUUGAAAGUAUAAGUAGGGUUCUGCAUUUAUAUGGUAGUUAGAUCGGGCCACAUCGGGCCGGUCCAAAAAUCAUGCCAGGCUCAUGCUGGCCCAGCGUGCCGGGGAGGCGGCCCAGGCCCGGCACUAUCAUCGUGCCGGGCCAGCCCUGGCACUAUUCACUUCGUGCCGGGCCCGUGCUCGUGCCGUGCUUUUUAGUGUUGGGCCUCGAGCCACCCAACGGGCCUGGCCCAUUUGGAAAUCUUUGUUCGUGGGUAAAAACUCUCUAACCUCGCAAGUUCUUGGUCAAGGAAUAAAACUUGGUUAACCUCGCAAGUUCUUAUGGAAACUAUUCUGGUAGUAAAACUCAUACCCUCGCAUCUUCUUUGUUACUGGAGGGACUCGAAGCUGGCAACUGGUAACUAAUAACUAAACUCCAACUGAGCUAACCCUCGAGUGUUCGGAAUCAGUCCUGAACACCGAGCUUUCAUCUUUUUUACUCUUUACUCAGGAACGGAACCUGAAGGGAGAUUCCGUGAGGUUACAAGAUUCUCAGAGCAACACAACGAACCAGGCGUCACGAGGUUGGACAACUAUCUCAAGCCAAGGGUGGAGACACGAGGCUGGAAGAUCGAUCUGGUGAAGGUGAAGUCCCGAGGUUGGAAGGACGGAGGCGUGAGAAACGUGACCAUAUUGAGGAAUUCAAUUUAUACACGUUACCCCAUGACCUUUAUGUAUGGCAUAUCCUAGAAAUGUAGUGGUUGAGGAAGGACAUUUCGAAAUGUAAAGUGGCUCAUGUGUCACUAUAAUAGGGGAGCUCUACUCCAUUGUAAAGGAAAAUCGAUUGUUUUUUAGAACUUCCAAGUGUUAUCUCUUUUUAUUCACGAAUUUGUUUGGUAUCGAAUUUUUCACGAAUUUGUUUGGUAUCGAAUUUUCUUUGAGACCAACAGGCAAUGAGGAGGUUAGGGUGGGCGCAACUCAUUUCAAUGGUGUAUGGUAGCAUAGUGAUGACAGAUCGAUCCGGUGGUGGGAUCCACCUGAAAUGAGAGAAGAAGGGCGGUAAGGGGCACCACUCAACGCAAGAGGAAGCUCCUCGGUGAGCACAUCGGGAGGAAGAAGGAACUACAAGAAGAAGCCCAAGGAAGAAGAUCUAGUAACUGUUGGAUUUCAAUCCAUGAACAUUCAGAUGUAUGGAAAAGAAAAGAAAAGAAAAGAAAAGAAGCCCGUAAGCAGUAUAGCUGGCCUAAAAAGAGAUACCAUGCAUGGCUUCAAGGAUGGGUCCGGGAUGUGCACUGCUGGCGCAGAACCCAAACACCAAAACAAGCACACACUUGCCAAACGUCACUCUUCAACACUUGUCGUACAGUAGAUUUCUACCUCUCCCAUCCUUGUCGUGCUGUGAAGAUAUCACCCGCGAGCAGCCAAUCCGAGCGCUCCCCGCUCCCAUCCUGGCCCCUCCUCCGAUGCCGUCCACUUCCACGUCCCUCUCGCCCGGCACGGCGCCGGACCACCAGCUGAUCGAGGCAUCGGCGACGACGCGACCAACCCCUACCCGGGCACCAGUAACCGGGACAUGCCUUUAACACGCUGGGAUCCCACUUCGACAGAAAGAUGUAAGCAAAGCAAACGACGCCUCGUUUCGUUCCAUAUCAUGGAGGCGGCCAUUCUUGCCGUGCUGGUGGCCGUCCUGCUCCUCCUCGCCCGAGGCGGAUCGGCGGCGGCGGGGGCCGGCGCAGCCACCGAGUUCGUGUUCACCGCCGGCUUCGCGCGCCAGAACGUGACGACCAGCGGCGCGGCCGUGGUCACGGCCUCCGGCCUCCUGCAGCUCACCAACGAGACGAACGAGGUGUUCGGGCACGGCUUCUACUCGGCGCCGCUGCGCUUCAAGGACGCCUCCACGGGCGCGCCGCUCUCCUUCUCCACCACCUUCGUGUUCGCCAUCGUGCCGCGGUACCCGGACGCGCACGGCCACGGGAUCGCCUUCGCGCUCGCGCCGUCGCCGGCCGUGGCGGGAGCCGUGGCGGGGAAGAACCUCGGCCUGUUCAACACGUCGGAUAACACGGGGCAGGGGAGGAGCGGGAUCGUCGCCGUCGAGCUCGACACGGCGCGGGACGAUGAGUUCAGGGACAUCGACAAGAACCACGUCGGCAUCGACGUCAACAGCUUGGAGUCCGUGAACUCAACGCCGGCGGCGUACGUCGAUGUCGGCACCGGCAGGCUCGUCAACUUCAGCCUGGUCAGCGGAAACCUCCAGCAGGUGUGGGUCGAGUACGACGGCGCGAGCAUGCGCAUGGAGGUGACGGUGUCGCCGGCCGGCAUGCCCAGGCCGGCUGUCCCGCUCGUGUCGUACACCGUCAACCUCUCGUCGGCCGUGGCCGACGACACUUACGUCGGGUUCUCGGGAGCGAACGGUGCGGCCUCAAGCUCUCACUACGUUCUUGGCUGGAGUUUCCGCCUCGGCGGCGGCCGCGCGCCGGACCUCGACCUCUCCAAACUCCCGCCGCUCCCACCUUCAAGAUCCAAGAAGAUGAUGCCGCUGCUACUGAUCCUCACACUGUUCCUAGUUGCCGUCUUGGUACUACUCCUAGUGUCGGGGGCAGUCGUGGUGCUCGUCAGAAGGCGCCGCCGGAUCGCCGAGGAGGAGGAGGACUGGGAGAUCGAGUACGGCCCUCACCGGAUCCGCUACAAGGACCUGCACGCGGCGACCAGGGGCUUCCGCGACAUCAUCGGCGCCGGCGGCUUCGGCACCGUGUACCACGGCGUGCUCCGGCGGUCGGGCGCCGAGGUCGCCGUCAAGAAGGUGGCCCACGACUCGCGGCAGGGGCUGCGCGAGUUCGUCUCGGAGAUCGCGAGCAUGAGCCGGCUGCGCCACCGCAACCUGGUGCAGCUCCUCGGCUACUGCCGGCGACGGGGCGAGCUGAUGCUCGUCUACGACUACAUGGUCAACGGCAGCCUCGACAAGCACCUGUUCGACGCCGGCAAGCCGGCGGCGCUGAGCUGGGAACGGCGCGCCAAGAUCGUCCGCGACGUCGCCGCCGGGCUGCUGUACCUGCACGAGGGGUGGGAGCAGGUGGUGGUGCACCGCGACAUCAAGUCCGCCAACGUGCUCCUCGACGCCGACAUGAACGGCAGGCUCAGCGACUUCGGCCUGGCGCGGCUGUACGACCACGGCAGCAACCCGCAGACGACGCACGUCAUCGGGACGCUCGGGUACCUCGCGCCGGAGAUGAGCAAGACGGGCAAGGCCACCACGAGCACCGACGUGUUCGCGUUCGGCGCCUUCCUGCUCGAAGUGGCCUGCGGCCGGAGGCCCAUGGAGCGCAACGACGACCUCGACUCGCCGGGGCUCGUCGACCUCGUCCUCGAGCACUGGAAGGCCGGGAGGAUCAUGGACGCCAGGGACCCAAAGAUCGGCGAGGGCGACGAGGCCGAUGUCGAGCUGGUGCUCAAGCUCGGGCUGCUCUGCUCGCACCCGGACCCCCGGUGCCGGCCGAGCAUGAGGCAGGUGGUGCAGAUACUGGAAGGCGCUGCGCCGGUGCCAGAGACGCCGCCGAAGGAUCUAGAAAACAAUAACAGGUUGUUCUAUGGAUACAUCGAGUCGUUCGACGAGUUCGCCACCGUGUUCCCGACGUCCGGGACCACCACCGUCACGACACAGCCGUCUUCUUCGCACUCCAACGACGAGCAGCAGGAGGUGAUCUCCGGCUGAGUGGUGACAUCUUCUCUCUUCACCAAACCACCAAAAAGUUCAGUCAUGUGCCUACUUACGGUGGUUGGAACUUGUAAAGGAAAGCAAGUAGUCAUAGAUUUAGAGUCAAAGAGGUGUUUGAUCUUUUUCGAAGUGAACAUAGGAUAUCGUCAGCCAUUUGUAGGGAUGACAAAAACAAUAAAGUUUGAUGUAUCAAGUCCCAACUGCCGAGGCCGGCUAUACCAAUCAGGUUAAUUAUCAUUUUUGGCUGGUGCAUUUCCAGAAGAAAAGACUCUGCAAAUGACAAGUGCAUGAGAACGGGUGGUGGACCACAAUAACCUUAUAUGGAUUGUAGGUGAAACAGUGAAUCUCUUCAAAUUAACAGUUAAAUAAACCUCAAAAGAAGUAAUGAUAUGGAAACAUCAUUUUUGUGAAGAAUCAGAACCCAGGUGUCGCUUUCGCUGGGCAUCAACUUGCUUACAUGGGAAGAAGAUUGUGGCAUGUGAACCAUAAACUUUAUAAUAGAAGUAUUGAGUUUAGAACAGUGGUCAGUGGACUUGGGAAAGAUACGGGAAGGUAUCUGAAAUCUAAAAUAUCUGAACAACCGAAAUAGACAGCACGUACAAGUGACAUGAGGAAGGUCCUAAUUGGAAAAUUACGACAGGCAAUGCCAGCUUCUAUCCAUAUAACAUUAGCUUACAGGUUAGCUGACUAGUUCAUUCAUCUAUAGCCUCAGCCACAAGCAGAAUCAUCAUCAUCUUCCUGGAUGCCCUGUGCAGCACCUUGGAUCAUUUCAUCAUCAACUCCUGGAAGGAAGUUUAGAACGUCUGAUAUUUAGCUUUUGUCAUUACCUGCAGAUAAAGUCUACAAAAGGAAAUACAUGUGGAUGUACCUUCAAUGAAGGAUUCAAAUUCAUCUUCAUUUGGUUCCCUUGGUGCGAUUCGGCUGACUGAUUGAUUAAUCUCCAUCCAGUUUGGUUGCUCAACUGGGCCAGAGAACAGUGCAGGUGUAUCCACAACCCAGUCAUCAACUAUGUCUACGUAGUCCACUGAGACAGGAUCAAAUGCUUUCACCUUGCGCUGUUGUCUAUGAACAAUUAUUAAUAAGAUCGGUCAAUCAAACCAUGUUUUUUUAGCAACACAUUCAAAUUUAACUCAUAAUGGCAAGACUCUAUACAAAAAGAUGAUUCCAUUACCUUUGCUGCAGCCGUAGGUUGUAUUGUACAAAGGUGAGAUCAUGCAUUCGCUGACGCUCAAAACUAUUCAAUCUUUCAUCAUGAACUUGCUCAAAAGGAAUGUGCGCCCGAUCACAUCCUCUAGCGCUGCAGGUUUGACUAAGAAUACGGACCGCUAGACGUGUUAAAUUUGGGCAAGCUCCUCCAUAUGUAUACCACCAUUCAGCUGUAAGAUAAAAUAACAAUAGUAAAGGCAAAAUGUUAAAUAUCACUUAACAAACUUUACAUUGUGACAACAUCAUUAAAGGGAAGCACAAUUUAACUAGGUUCCAAAUAUUGAAAGAAGGCUAACAAUGUAAAGUUUGUCAGAAAAGUCUCAUUUGGUUAGAUAAAACAAAAUAACCCUACAGAUGUAACUCAAGUUUGCAUGACAAAAAAAAACAUAAUACUAGCGUGUAUUACUAGUUAACGAGAAAUUCUUAAAUACUAACCAGGAGGUAAAGUUCGUCUGGAUCGGAUAGCCAUCUGCCUACGAAAAUCCCCUGCUGUCUCACUCCGGUACAUGUUGAGCUCUCGCUGGAUUUUAUCUUGGAUUUUCACAUCAGAAACCAGCCUUUCUAUGCAAUCUAGCAUUCCUGAGAAGAUUCCAUUUGAUACAUCACCUCGAAUUCCAUCAAAAAAUAGUGGAUUCAGGAAGAAACCAGCUGAAUGAAGUGGCCGUGGUGUUUGGUUGUCCCAUCUCCAGUCGAUGAUAUUCCAAUAAGCCAUGUAGUCGUUCUUACUCACUAGCUCUUUCUUGAUUGCUGCUUUGGCCUGGUACAAUCCAGCAUAAAUGUACCCCAUAGCAGGCCUCUUUGUACUACCAACUAGCUUAAGGAGAUGCACAAGUGGCUCGGUGAUGUGAACAACAGCAGCACAAGAGGACCAAAACUGCAAACUAUUAACAAGAUUGCUUACUUCGAUCCCUCCUUUCUUUGGCAGCAAAAAGUGUAUCCAUUCAUCCGAGUUGACCAUGGCUUGCAAAGCCUCCUUCAGACCGUACAUGUUCUUCAGUGUGACAAAGUUCAUAGAAGCGCGAGUCUCUGCAGGAACUAGCAGAUCCUUCCCAUGCAGAUACUUCUUCAUUAGAUUCAAUGCAAAUGCGCUGUUGUAGAAAAAUCCUGUGAGGGCCUUUGCAUUACUUAUUAUCUCACUGAUUGCCCCUACCUUACUGAAAUCUUCAAGCAUGCCAUCGAUGCACUGGAAAGAGCAUGGAGACCAGAACAAUGUUGGAAAUGUUUCACCUAGCUUUUUUCCUGCAGCUGCAUGGAUCUCAGAGUUGUUUGUGAUUACUUGGACAACUUUUUUCUCGCCAACUUCCUCGACAACACUUUUCAGUAACUCAUACAGUGCAUCUGAAGAUGCGACAAUGCUGGUUGCAUCCACCGAUUUGAGGAACAUAGUGCCUUCUGGGCAAUACACUGAAAAGUUUAUCAAGGUUCUGCCUUUAUCAGUGAUCCACUCAUCAGCCAACACCGAGCAGCCAGUCCUUGUCCAUGACCCCUUGAAGAACUCCAACCGAGACGUCGCAUCAUCCAGUGACUUCUUAAGAAUGUGACCACGAAAGUCAUGGUAUGAGAGCGCCUCCGGCCUCCCUCCUGCCGAUGCAAUAGCCUCAAGCAUGGGCUGGAAGUAGACUGAAUUCACUGCUUCCAAUGGCACACCAACAUCAUACAAGAACCUCCCAACUGCCACAGAAACCUGCUCCUUGUCCAAACCAGCAUGUCCGAAAUGUCCUGAUGAUGGUGUAACUGCGUCGACUGCCAUCACAACCUGAUGAAGAGGAUUGGUCUGAGGAGUAGACGGAACAUGCUGCUGCAGAGUCGGGGGAGUAAGUGGUGGAGUGGAGGCGUUACUCAACAUCUUCCUCUUCUUCUUACUGCUGACACUCCCCCUCAUGGUCUCCGGAAGCGGAGGCCUCUGUUCGUCGAGCGGCACGGGUUCGAAGUCCAGCACCUCGUUGAGCGGGAUCAUGUGGAUGGGGCUGUCGGUGGCCCCACCGCUCGCGGCGGAGGCGGGCGACGCGUCGGUGGGGGCGAAUCGCCUCAUGUCGCCGGGCGGGAGUGCGUUGGCUAGCUUGCGCUGCAUCUUCUUGGCGGCGACAGCGUCGAGGCUGCGCAUCAUGGUGUCCUGGACGUCGCGGGGCACCUUGGGGCAGCAGCAGGCGUUCCCGGGGCGGCGGGCCAGGUGCUCCUUGAAGCGGUGGAUGCCGCCGCCGAGGAAGUGCUUGCCGCAGUAGGCGCACUUGAGGCGCACCCGGCCCUCGGCGCGCACCAUGAGGCAGUGCUUCCACGCCGGGUCGUGCUUCUGCGCGCCGAUCUGCACCACCUCCUCCUCCUCCGCCCCCGCCCCGGCCGCCGCCGCGGCGUCAUCCCCCUCCUGCCUCUCCAUCCGGGCGCGAGCACUGCAUCAGCCAUCACCACCGGGCGUCACGAACGGCGCAAUUGGAUUCGAACGCAAUUCAUCGAGAGUCCUGCUGCUAAUCCCCCAAUUAGCCGAUGGCGCGCGCGCGAAAUGAACCUGUGCGGCCCCGCGCGCGCGAACCGAGCGAACCAGGAGAACCUGAAAGGAGUGGGGGAAAGGGUGGGAGGAGCGGGAUCGAGAGAGAAGAGAGAACUCACCCGGGUUUUUGGGAGGCGAAACGGCCGGGCUCCCCCAAAUCGGCGUCCGCCGGGGCGGGGAGGAAGAAAACCAGUGAGGUGGAGGUGAUUGGGGAUGGUGAGCGACGGGCGAGACGUGGGUGAGGAGCGAGCCGGCCGGGUGGGGUUGGUUGGUUGACCUGGCCGAGAGGGAGGGGGAGAGGGAUCGGGCACCGGCCCAGCCGGUUCUCGCGUGGGUUGGUUCGGGUCAGGUCACAUCAGGUUUGGGCUGAUCGGGGCGAAUGUGCCGGACCGUGGGCCGGCCUGGUUGGUUUGGCCGGAGGAGAGUGCAAAGCACUCGUUGCCCCACCCGUCAAACCGGGCAUCACCGGCCGCGGCGCCGGCCCGGAGAUGCUCGUUUCCCGACUCCCGAGGCACUAGCUGUCGCGCAAUGGGUACGGUGCAAGCUGCAGGGGGCAGAUGGGGACAAGUAAACACCUCACUCCACUCCAUCUCAGUUCUCAGCUGAUGGCAAAGAUGAACUGAGAGCUGAUGGCGAAGAUGAACUGAGAACUGUAGCUAGAUUGAGAGCUGGGGAAAGAGGUCGGGGAGGGGGGAUUUCGUUCCGAAGGCCUUGCUACGAGCUGAUCUUACCAUCACCAUUCAGCAGCACCGAGGUAUGGUUCUCUCGGGUCACAAUGUUUGCAUAUCUUUCUGCAGAUCGAGCUAGGUCUAUAUGUUGGGGAAAAUAAUUAGUUUUCUCUUCCCUUUUUGGCUGGGGAAUGUCAGUGAAAAUCGCAUGGGAAACUUCCGUGAGAUUGUGCCCGUGCGUGUGAGAUUUCGGAAAUAUGUAGGACAAAUCCCGGGCAAAAGGAAGAAGUGGCGUGCUCAAUUUAUUCUUCCCCCAAGUGACUGGUUGAACUCGCUGGAGUUGGUAGCUUUGGUUCGUUAUGUGGACCUGAUAUGAUGUGCCAGUAUCAGGAGGGAAGUGCCUUUGAGGGAUGGGAUCAUGGGAAUGAAUCUUUUUUGUUUUUUUGCCUGCUCCCCUUCUCUCUUCUUCUCUGCUCGCAUUUGGGAGACCUGACGCCUACCAGGAAGCUAGGGGAGUUCAGUUCACGUUGAUUUCUUUGUUUGAGAAUUAGUGUCUUUUUUUGGAAAAAGACACGUAGGUUACCCCCGGUAAAUAAUUAGGCAUUAGAUUAGAAAACGUUAUUUGUCUCAUGAUUUAGAGUUACAAGUACUGUACUUCUCGGACACAUUUCAUGGUACCAAAUUAUAGGUCGACCUAUAAUUUGGAACAGAGGGAGUAGUACGUUAAUUUUAGGUUAUGCAUUCUUAGAUGUAAAGUAUGUGUACCUGUAUUUUGUUAGUUGGAUUUGACCAAUUGGUGUCGAUUCUUAGAUGGAGAAUUUUCAGGGUGUGUAGGUUAAGUGGGUGUUUGGUUCCACCUUGCUAAACUUAGUUGCUAAAGUUUAGCAACUUUUAGCUGCUAAACUGCCAAACACCCUUGCUAAAACUUGCUAAAGUUGAGUUGCUAAAGUUUAGCACUUUAGCAAGUUUUAGCAACCAAAAACUUGUCUCCCCCCUCUUGCGCACCUAUACCCCUCAUUUAUUGCUUGUCUCCCCCCUCCUGCGCACCUUUAAUAAGGGUAGAUAGGUCUUUUUAUAGCUCAUUAAAUGUCUUUUAGCAAGAGUAUCCAAACAGCUUUUGCUAAAGUUUAGCAACUUUUAGCAACUAAAGAUUAGCAAGAGGAACCAAACAUGCCCUAAGAUGGAAAUCAACAACUGUAGGUUUUAAGGACGUGAUUUAUGAAACAUUAAAUGGCUCUAUUGUAAUUAGGAUUUUCGCACUAUAAUAAAUCCCAACAGCUGGCAUCACAGUUUGGAUGGAUUUUAUAUGGGAGGCUGAGAGGUCCUAAUUUUGUGUCUUGAACUAGAUAUGUUGGGCCUAACGAAAUUUAGGGUCUUUCUAUCGAUCGAGAUGGUGUUGGUUUCAGCAGUUUUUUCAGUUACAGUGUUUGAAUUCCCAAAUCAAGGGUAGAAUGGGGAGAUGAUGAAAUGGUAGGCAUGCUGUUUUUCUCUAAACCUUAGGAAGUUUAUUUGUGCCCCCAUGCUGGGUGGGAUACAGGUAGCUCUGGUUUGUUUUUCAUAUGGCUUUCUGCAUAAGCAGGGAAGCAUGUUUCAUCUGUAAAGGAAGGGGAAUGCCACUGGAUGUGGUGAAAAUUUAGAAGGAAUGUACUGAAUGGUGAACGCCUACCAGAUGUCAGAAAAUAUGGGUCAAAUGAAACCUUAUUUAGGAAAUACAUCUCUUACGAGGCUAUAGAUUGUGAAUGAACUGAUACCUUUUUUUUCUGCAGGCAUGUCAAUAACCGAGAGCUUCACGAUAUACCAUGGGGAUAAUUUGUUUACAAAUGGACCUGCGGGGGUGCAGCGGAAUCUGGCCGGCCGCGUCGUGUACAAGAAGCUGCUAGGGCCGCAGUACAUGUCGUUCCAGCAAGUGCGGCGCUGGAUAUUGGAGAUGUUCAACGUGGACGAGGUGAGCUUGUGCUGCGGCACAUCGUGCCUGUAAAGCCCAAGAACCAGGCGCGCGCUUACAACAUGGCGGUUGAUAUAGUAUGGCUUGAUUCCUGGAGGACAUUUCUUGAAGUGUCAUUGCGCCAAGGUGUCUCUUUGGUACUCUAUGUUCAGUGGCAGGCCAAGGCGGCGUCAGGUCCCGUUUGUGAAGGCGCUAUCGGCGAGAAGAACAGCGCCACACCUGCUCUGGCUCCAGCUCCGGCCCCGGCAACUGCCCCUGCGCCCACUCCUGCUCCUGCUCCUGCCCCUGCGCCUGCUCCCGCUCCCGCUCCCACCGCUAAAGAGCCCACCGUGGCCGGUGAACAAGGCGGAAGCUGGGACAGGGAGGACCCGGGCCGACGUCUCUACCGCUGCCCUCUGUUGGAGGUACCUUAUACUAGUUCCUUUUCCCAUGCCAUUAUUUGAAGAAAUUUAUAGAUUAGAGAAGUAGUCAAAUCUACAAAUGACCUCGAUUCAUUCCGCUUCCCAGGAUCCUGGGGGAUUGUGGAUUCACGCAGUGGCUGGACGAGGCCUUCCCUGAAAAGGCGACCAUGCACAUCAACAACCUCCUGAGUAGGGAGGAGUGCCUCGAGCAGCAGGUCGAGAACCUCCAGGAGGAGCUCAACGAGCUCCGUCGCCGGUACGUGACCGGCAGCAGCCAUCGUGACGGGCAAGACAGCGAGACACGCCCACGCCAAGUCCGCAGAAUGAUCUAGGACAACUGAUGGUGUACCCUGCUUCUCCCAGUUUGCAUGAAGUCCUCAAAUGUUACUAGUCAUGCUGUCCGUUUCUUGUUCGUUCAACCAUUUGUUCAGUCAUGUUGUUGCUAGAGCAUGUCGCUCUGAACAGUCUGAACCGUGUUCCAAUGUUAUGCCAUCUGUAAUGUAAAUUACUUGCAUCAACGCAUUUACCAUUUCAGAACAAUGUUGGACGUACUUCUUAUUUUGUCGCUACUUGUAUCGGUUCAAGUAUCAUGUCGAACAACCGUACUGAACCCCAAAUCUUGCACAAGUGACAAUCUGAAAGCUGCAAACGCGUUUGAAUCCAUAAAGGUCUGCAAACAGGCGAGAGUGAUCACUAUCCAUUACCACUCAAGAAUUUCUCAUGUUAUCCCCAUGUCACGGUAAAAAGAAUUUGAAUAUUACCAAUCAGUACAACAUUGUAAAAACUUGGAACACCUACAGCAUGAACAAGCGGAAAAGCACAAUAAGAAGCUAUCACUGAUUGACUAGCAGUAGAAGACUGCGCACAUGGAAAACGGAAUCCAAAACAAAUUGGAAUAGAAAUUGUUUCGCGUGUAGUAUAUAUGACCAACUCUUGUGCGAGGAGCACUGAAAAACUUACAAAAAAAAAAA